UAAUUCAAAUACAACAUGGUUAACAAAAAUUAAAUAAAAAUAAGUUUAAAAAAUAAACCACUGAGAGACUGAAAAAUUGAAAUAGGAGUUGGGAGGUGUUGCAGAUCAGUCUUGCUGCCGAUCAUCGUGAUCACAAUGUUGGAGUCUGCAUGGUCUCUCAGAUCCUUCAGCCACUGGCUCACGUUUUUAAAUGUUGUUGAUUUUGUCACAUCAUAAAGACAUAAACUAAAAGAGCUCCGAGUGCACCCCUAUAAUAGGCACUGUUUAUAACUCUGUAUCGCUCCUGGCCUGCAGUACGCAUAUCUGGGCUUUUAUUGUACUUCAACCUGAAAAUCACAGAUUUCUCUCUAAUCAUACAACAAAAUGCUCUUUUAGGAAAAAAUUUCCAAUUUUGAUUGACUCUGGAGUUGCUAGAAAAAAAAUUUCUUUGGACAGAUCUUACAGCAAUUCAAUCCUUGUUACAUGAUGAAGCAAAGUUUUCAAAUAUUAUGCACUAGAUUAUUAUUUUGUUUCUUGAAUUCAAAACUCACAAAACCCUAAGACCUCUUUAAAUUUCACACACUAGUAUGAGUUGACAAUAACUUUACACCACGAACACUUGUAGGAUUGUUAUAAGUAAUUAAGACACUGUGUUCUCUUUUUUGACUGUCUCUUGUACCCCAAACAACCACAGGAUAGUAACACAAUGGCUAAAAAUUGUAAAUGUUUCAGAACAUGAGUUGCACCCAUAACAACUCAGUAAAUAAUUUUUUCACCCUGAUUAAACACAUAUACUUGUUUUUUCAGGAAAAGUAUAAGAUAUGGUAACUUGAUAAACUCAAAAAUCAUGGGUGGGAUGUAACUCUGGGGCUUUAUCUCAUGUGGGAAACAGUCAAGAGAGAGAGGUCAACUAAAACGCAAAAUGUGAAAUGAAUACUCAGCUCUAGCUCAAAGUUGACAUACUUUUCUUUCACAUCCGCCACUCAGUCUCAUCACCCUAUGUCCAAACAGGCUAAAGCUGCAAUUACUGUCAACCCCAAGUAUCAGCUUUGAUUCACGAUUUCAAGACAUGAAAUCCCAAAUCUAACUUGCCAAAACUCAACAUCAGGCUUGAACAGAUUGGUUUCGACUUGCAUAACUAACUUCAACAUAUGGAGAACAGUCUUUCUCACAUAUCCAAGAAAACAUUGAAUGCCGAUCUAAUGAAUUAAUUGCAAUUCUGAUUCCACUCUAACAUGCAAAAAGUCAACAACUCGUUAGUUUCAACUUGCAUCACGAAGACAACAACAACAACAACAUACAGAGAACAGCCCUACUCACAUAUACAAGUAAACACCAAAUGCCGAUCUAAUUAUCCAAUUCAAUGACGGAAUCUGCCGUUGCAUGAUUUUCACUUGAUGAAUAAAUUACAUCUAAAAUAUAUAAUUUAAUCCAAACUUUCAACUUGAUAUAUAGCUAUCACAAUUUGGCGCUGCCACUUCCCUUAACGCAUAAAAUUAAUCAUUUAAAUCGUGGCCCAAAAUAUUCAGAUUUAAAUUAUAAAUCAUUCUUUUUCAAAUAGCUUAAAUAGCAUUCAAGUCUAAACUCCAAAAAAAAAAAGAGUCAUUUCAUGUGAAUUACAAUCUCAUAAUGAUAGAUCCAAUUAAAUCUCGUACAAACUAAAUCAAUAACCGAAUUAUAAAUUAAAAUCAUAAAUCAAUCAUCAUACUAAUAGUAAUUAUGCAUUAACAUUGAAAACAGAUAAAAAAAUUGAACCACUUCCAGUUCAAAUGAAUCUACAAAAAUCUAUCAUAGCUAAAUGAUGCAUGUGUAUAAACAACAACUUCGAUGGAUUAAUUUAAACCAGUCAUCUAAAUAUUCGAAAUAAUUCAAAAUCAUUGCUUUAAAACUUCAAUUACUAGCGAGCAAGGCUGGGAGACGAAGGAUUGACCAAGACUGAGAGUAAGAGAGGGAGGGAGAAAUUUUAAAUUUUUAUGAUGAUUUUUGAAUUUUAAGAAUAAUAUGAAUUUAGUCUGAUAAAAUAAAUUUCUUGCGGCUAAUGAAUUAUUUAUUUUGCUUCUUAAAAGUCUAAAAAUCUAAAUGGCGAUAAAUCUAUAUAUAUGUUGCGACUAUUUUAAAAUCCCUGCAAGUCAUCCACAAUAACCAACAGCUUAAAAAAUGGGUUAAUGAAGAUGAUAAUACAGAUAAGUUAGUAAACAGAGUUAAAAUAUUAUGUUCUGUUCGGUUAACAAGAAAGUAAAGGAAAAUGUUUAACGGGAGAGAAAUCUAGAAACUGAAGAAUGAGCUGGAAACUAACUAAUUGCAAAGCAUUCUACUUGCAGGAACCUUCUACAACAUGCAAAGCAUGAGCUGGAAACUAACUAAUUGCAACAAAUUCUUGGCGGGAAUUUAAAGUUGAUCUAAUUAUAACUCAAACCUUGUAUUGCUUAGUAAACAGAAUCAAUUAAGCUGAUACACUCUGUUUGACAGUAUCCAAAGGCUACAAGCUUAACAAUCAAAAUAAUCGGAUGAACUUUGUUGAGAUUAAUCGGAUACAGACAUGAAAUUGUUAAAUAAAAGUGAGAUUAAAACCAAACCUCUUCCUUUGUGUCGAAACCGAUCGAGAUCAAAAAAUUUCAAAUGAAAGUGAAAGCUUCUUCGAUCGAAUGAGAGUCAGAGAGUGAGAGCUGAAAUUCAUGAAAUUAGGGAACAAAUCCAUCAAAUUUGGUCAGAUUAAUUGAAAAUAAACCUGAAAAUUCAUGAUGAAUAGCGAAAUUUAAACCAAACGUCUUCGUCUUCAUUGGAACUGAGAUCACAGAAUUUCAAAUGAUUGCGAGAGAGAAAGCUGAUGUGUUUUUUCCUUUUUCUUUUUUCAAACACACCCCUCCCCCACGCGGGGCGCGCGGACGAAAGUGUGGGGCCCAGAGCUAAAGAAUUUUGCUGUUUUUUUUUUUUAACUUUUUCGAAUUUCAAGUACUACGAAAUUUUAAAAUAUUAUUUAUUCUUCACCAUUUUCUUCAGUUUUAGCUUUCUAUAUAUAAUUUUAUCCCAAACAAAAAAAGCUUUCGAUAUAUAAUUGGUUAAGUUAGUUAAUAUAGUCAAAUGUUUUUGACAUUAAUAAAUGUCAUGAAUCCUGUUCCAAUUUUAUUGGCAUAAUAAACAUUUCUUUGUUAAAGUGAUAUAAAAUGAAUAUUUUUAAUGUCAGAAUUUAACUCAACCUAUUUAACUGUCCUUAAAAAUUAUCAAAUAGUAAAUGUCAAUAUUUUCUUUUGGGGAUUGUCAAUUUCCUACUAUUAAAAUUCACUUACUUCCUACUAUUUUCAUAAUAGAUAAUAAUCCUAAUAGUAAAAUUUCACAAUAUUAUUCUUAUUUUCAAAUACACUUUUAUUAAUAUUUAUUAUAAAUUAAAUAAAUCAUAUAAAUAGAAAUUUACAUAAAAUAUUAAUUAUUAAAAAUAAAAAUAUAUAUUUUAUAUGAAUAAAAUAUUAAUAAUAACAUAUUUUUCAUAUACUUUUUGUUACUUCUUAUAUUUAUGAUAAGAAAAUGUUUAUAAAACAAUACAAGAAAAAAAUUUUAUUAAUUUUUUAUUCACAUCAAACUAUAUAUUUCAUAUAUUUCAUUCUUAAUUUUUUUAUUUUAAUUUCCAUCCAUUGGUAUCCUUGGAGCUAGUGUUCACGGCACAAUGCAGCCCUUACCCUAAACACAUACAAUAAAUAUGUGUUGUUUUUUUGUGGUCUAGAGAUUUUCUUGUGACCUAAGUAAUCUACUGCUUUCCCUUUGUAGCCGAUAUCAAUUCUCUAAUUUGUCAAGAAAAUACCAAACAAUACAUAUAUUUAUGUUUUAUAAUAACAAUAAAACAAACCAUUUAAGAAUCCGAUAUGAACGUAAAAAGUUUGGAAACAUAAGUGGAAUCUAUCAGCAAAAUGUCUUGGAUGAAAUUUUAAAAUAAAGAUUAAACUUCUUCAAUUACACUGCCGGUCGUUGCUGCUGUUCUGUCGAAGAGAAGUUGUAAUAAUGAUCUUGGAAUCAAUUCAAGAUCUUGCUGAAAAGUGGCCUCAAAAUUUUGUGGUAAAGCCAAUGACAAGCGGCCAUAAGCUUUCUACCAUAUUGGUACACCACCAAUAUGAUAGCAGUGCAACUCAAUGCAAUGUAGCAAAUGAUUUCAACAGCUGACUGUUUGAAAAAUGUGGAGACCAAUGACACUACUGAAAGAGAUCCAAAGAUAAUAGCGACAAGGCCCCAUAGCUGAGAAGAAUUUGCUUGAUAGCGUUGAGAUAUGUUAUCAGCAGCAAAUGCAAUGUAGUGGACGAUUAUGGCCACCAGAGAAACAUACAAGCUUACUUUAUGAGUUUCCAUCAAUGGCUUAGUUGUGCCUUGCACAGUCGCACCCAUAACAGCGAGCAAGGUUGGGAUGAGACAUUCAAAAAAAAAUAAAAUAUUAAUUAUUAAAAAUAAAAAUAUAUAUUUUAUAUGAAUAAAAUAUUAAUAAUAACAUAUUUUUCAUAUACUUUUUGUUACUUCUUAUAUUUAUGAUAAGAAAAUGUUUAUAAAACAAUACAAGAAAAAAAUUUUAUUAAUUUUUUAUUCACAUCAAACUAUAUAUUUCAUAUAUUUCAUUCUUAAUUUUUUUAUUUUAAUUUCCAUCCAUUGGUAUCCUUGGAGCUAGUGUUCACGGCACAAUGCAGCCCUUACCCUAAACACAUACAAUAAAUAUGUGUUGUUUUUUUGUGGUCUAGAGAUUUUCUUGUGACCUAAGUAAUCUACUGCUUUCCCUUUGUAGCCGAUAUCAAUUCUCUAAUUUGUCAAGAAAAUACCAAACAAUACAUAUAUUUAUGUUUUAUAAUAACAAUAAAACAAACCAUUUAAGAAUCCGAUAUGAACGUAAAAAGUUUGGAAACAUAAGUGGAAUCUAUCAGCAAAAUGUCUUGGAUGAAAUUUUAAAAUAAAGAUUAAACUUCUUCAAUUACACUGCCGGUCGUUGCUGCUGUUCUGUCGAAGAGAAGUUGUAAUAAUGAUCUUGGAAUCAAUUCAAGAUCUUGCUGAAAAGUGGCCUCAAAAUUUUGUGGUAAAGCCAAUGACAAGCGGCCAUAAGCUUUCUACCAUAUUGGUACACCACCAAUAUGAUAGCAGUGCAACUCAAUGCAAUGUAGCAAAUGAUUUCAACAGCUGACUGUUUGAAAAAUGUGGAGACCAAUGACACUACUGAAAGAGAUCCAAAGAUAAUAGCGACAAGGCCCCAUAGCUGAGAAGAAUUUGCUUGAUAGCGUUGAGAUAUGUUAUCAGCAGCAAAUGCAAUGUAGUGGACGAUUAUGGCCACCAGAGAAACAUACAAGCUUACUUUAUGAGUUUCCAUCAAUGGCUUAGUUGUGCCUUGCACAGUCGCACCCAUAACAGCGAGCAAGGUUGGGAUGAGACAUUCAAAAAAUUUUGGGUAUGGAAUUGAGGAAAUCAAACUGUCAUCACUGUAAAACCAUCAAAAUUUAUUUAUGAACAAGUAAUGUUAUAUUUUUAAACUUGUUGCACAUGUGCCUCAAAUUUUAUUUAUGAACAAGUAUGUAAUGUUAUAUUUUUAACUUGUUACACAUGUGUCUCAGGAGUAGCUUAGCUCGAAUGGCUGUGAAUACACUUAUCAAGUACGGUUAUGUAUAUUUUAACAAAAAUACUAGGCAAAAUUUGGUGAGAUACGCUCAAAAUUUUAGAAAUAAUUGUCACUGCUUACUACCUUAACAAAUAAAUAUAAACAAGAAACAAUGCUCCCAAAUUUUAACAAUCAAGAGGAAAGCUUCCUAUAUAAGAGAAAAAGACCAAGACCAAUACGCUUAGUGGGUUUCAAAAAGUAAUGAUCUUCUAAAGUUUAACUUUCUUUUAGCUGUUAUCAAUUAUUAAUGCAUGGACAAACCUCAUACAAUAGUCUAACAUGGAACCAUCAAGUUCUAGACUUUACUCACUAGAUCAACGAAUGCUCAUAACUAAGCUUAUAGUCAAGUAAGAAAUGCCAAAAAAUAUGACAAAGUUAAUUAACCUUCAUAUGAAUAAAAGAAAGAACUGUAUGCAGUGAAAAUUUAGCUCAUAAAAACAGAAAAUGUAAGAAAUGUGUACGUAUGUACCUUGAAGGAUCAAAGUGCUGUCGAUGAAGGUGAUGAUGGCAGGGGCAGCUUAUUUGCAUCAUAUUGAUUUCGGAACGCAACCCUUCUUCUUCGGACAAAACCGACCUGCUCAGGACUAUAAGCUUCUUCUGCCAAAAAACGAUGAGCUUCUUCUUAUGAAAAAAUUUUAUUUUAUUCAUGCAUAAUGCAAAAGAAAUGCUCAUAACUAAACCUAUAGUCAAGUAAGAAAAGACGAGCUUCUUCUCCUGCCAAAAAAGAUGAGUUUCUUCUCAUAACAAAAUUAUAUUUUAUUUAUGAUGAUUUAGUAUGACUUGUCAAUUAGUUAUGAAACUCGUCAACUUUGGCAAUCUCAUACACUAAAGUGGAAAAUGAGUAAUGUUACUUUGACAAAUCACACCCUUUCGAAGCAAAAGAAAAAGAAAAGACUACCUUCAGAAAAAAUAAUCAAUUUCUUGUAAAUGAGUUUACACAUUUUAAUUUGGCCUGAUCUUAUAGCAAUUCAAUCCAUUUAACAUGAUGAAGCACAGAGUGACAUCAGUAAUUUUGUUCCUUCAAUACAAAACUCAAAAAUUUUGUAACCUCUACCAUAUCUUUUCCAACACUAAUACCUCUUUAAAUUUCACAGUCAACAUGAUUAGCUGUGAAAUAUGACGUUGAUCUUGAUGUAGGAUUAUUGUAAGUAAUUGAAAUACGACGUUGAUCUUGACGUAGGCUUCUAGCGGACUCCCGCAGUCCCGCACUAACUUAAUGCAUGCGUAGCUUUUUAAUAUAAGGGUCCGGCUAUUUUUAAACCGCUUUAAGAUAGAACACCUCUUUAUAAUCGUAAGAUCAAAAUUAUAAUAAAUUUUUUAUUAUUUAUCACUUUAUAUAUAUGGUUGAGAUUCAUCCUCCACCAUAUAUAAACUAUAACAUGGCCAUAACCUUAAUAUAAAUUCACUCGAACAGGGUUAGAUCGUAUCAUUGCAUCCCAUGACUUGACCUCAACCAGAAGUACGAUUCAUCGAAAUUAACCAAAUUCAAAGCUUUAUUUUUAUCUUUUUAAUAUCAAGUAAAAAGUUAAUUUCAAUAAAUUCUGAUCGAAAUACUCACAAUAUUAAAAAAGAAUUAAAAAAAAAGCGUAUUAAUGAUUAAAUUAAGAAAGUAUAAAUUAUGAUUACGACUUUAUACAAAUCAGCCACCACAACCGUCGAUGGAAAUCACGACAAUCGACAAAGUGUAUUAAUGAAUCACCACCACGAUUUACUCUAUUAAAGCAGACAGAGUCUCUUUUCUAUAACCAUAGCCUUUGGGCUAUUACUUCAUCAUUUUAUUUUUACUCUCACUCCAUCCGUGUUCAAGAACUGUAGUUCCACUGUUUCAGCUGCCAAGCUGCAAAUUGUAAACAUUGAAACAUCCACAUUCAAGGAAAUCAUAUAUAACAAUUACGAAAAUCAAUAAUAAUGCGUUAAUGUAUCUGAAGAUUAUUUGUCUAAAUUGUAAACAUUAACGUGCCUGGAGAUCAUUUGCGUAAUUUUCAUCUACAUAUAAAUUAUGAAAAUCAAUAAUAAUGCGUUAAGAAAUUUAUGUCAAUAAGAAUGACGUAAUUAUAAUAGAGUGAUAUAAGAUAAAAAAAAAAAAUGUGUUUGUUUGUAAAUUGUAAUGAAAUUCAUUAGUCAAUCGAUUUAUAAAAAAUAAUUCAUGUAAUCUAACCUUUUAACAGUUAAUAGAAAAGUACUAUGAUUAACAGAUUUCUAUGUAUAGAGCAUUAAAUAAUGAGACUCAUAUGGGUUCAAUUGUGUUGAAUAGCUUUUUCUUCUUUCUAAAUUCUUAAUUGAAUAAUCAAGAACGGGAUGGCGACAAAAAGAAAGGAAAACAAAAAAGAAAUAAUCAGAUUCCCACGGGCUUCAGUUUUUUCACCAAUUGCACUGAUGAUGAUAUUUUCCAUUCAUUAACGAAGGAAGGUUCGUUCCCUUAUAUUAAAGUGAAGAGGGACGCUUUACGCGCAGAAUAUACUGCCGAAUUAUUUGGCCUUUCAAUAAUGGAGAUUGCUACUUUCCUUUAACCUUUUUGGAUUUCAUCAUAUAUCACUUAUAUUUUUUAAAAUAUCCAGUCAAGGUUCAUCCGAAAAACUCCUCCAACACGACAACAAAACAACCAUUUGUUUUAAAUUAAAUUUUGAAAAGAAAGGAAAAUCUAUAUUGUGUCCCACAUAAGAUUUGAAGAGAAUCACUAUUUUCUACGACUUAUUUUCAAGCCCAUAAGUAUAUCUUUUUUUUUUAAUUUAUUGAAACUUAUUUUCAAAACAAUAACACUUGAAGUGAAUAAAUCUAUUGACACUGAUUUUCAAACGCAUAUCUUUUUUUUUUUUUUUGCACUGAGCUGCAGAUCUUUUUGCAGUACUAAUUCAUGUCAGAUGUUAAUGUCACGUAAACAGUUAAUUUUAAUAAAUUCUGAUUGAAAAACUCACAAUAUUCAAAAAGAUUAAUGAAAAAGAGUGUAUUAAUGGUUAUGUUUAGAUAAUAUAAUCUUGAUUACUACUUUAAACAAAUCAGCCUCCACAAUCCUGGACGAAAAUCACUACUUUAAAAAGUGAAUCACCACGGCUUCUCUGUUGAAAGCAGAAAAAUCUCUUUUCUAUAACUUUAGCCUUUGGGCUAUUACUUCAUAUAUAACAAUCUCAAAGACACGAAACUUGCUUGAGGCAACUGCUUCCUUAAUUGAAAUUAAUUUUUCAAGGAGACCGUUGCAUACUCAAAUUUCUCAAGUUCAGGGACCCUUUUUAUUCUUAAAAAUUCUAAUGUUUGAUUAGGGGUGUUCGCGGAUCGGAUUUUACGGAUUGGACAUCAAUCCAUAUCCAAUCCACGAUUUUACGGAUUAUAAAUUUUCAAUCCAAUCCAAUUCACAGAUUGGUAAAAUUCAAUCCAAAUCCAAUCCAUACAUCUGCGGAUCGGAUGCGGAUUUAACCCAAUCCAUAUCCAAUCCACAAUUUUGCGGAUUGGUUUGCGGACUGAAAAUUUUUAAUUAUGUCCAAUCCACAAACUAACUAAAUAAAAAAAUUUAAUAUAAAAAUAAUUUUAUUACUGAUUAAAUUUAAAAUUAAAUAAGAUUUAAAUAAAUUAACUGUUUAAAUAAAACUAGAAAAUACAUUUAAAGUUUCAAAAUACAAUACACCAAAACGAAAAAAAAAAAUCUCAUUCGUUUAGAUCAGUACAUGGAAAUUAAUUAUUUAGGAAGCUAUAUUUGUUCAUUCAAUUUUUCAUUAUUUAUAGUAUCAUCGGAUAAGAUAUAAUAUAGUUAUAGUGUUACUGUAACUAUAUUUUAACUAAUUUAUUUACUAGUAAGGCUCUGUUUGGUACAGCUUUUCAAGUAGAGCUUUUAUAAAUAGAGUUUUUACUAAAAAAAAUUUAGUUGUUUAGUUGUCAAUAAGAGCUUUUAUUAAAAUUUUAUGAAAUUACUUUAAUAGAUAAAAUUUUUAAAGUUAUGUUAUGAAAAGAAUAAAAUAAAAUUACAAAUAAGUAGAGGAUUUUUAGAUAUUUUAAUAUUAAAAAAAAAGCUUUUCAACUUCUACUCCCAAAAGCCCAAAAUUUGAGCUUUUACUAGUAGAGUCAAAAUAACUUAUUUAAGUUUCAAAAGCUCUAUUAGAAAAACAACCAAACAAUAACAAAAAUUAUGAUAAGAGCUUAUGAGAUUAAAUAAGCACUUACAUCUAUUAAAUAAGCCAUACCAAACAGACAUUAAGUAAUAAUGUCAUAUUUACAAGUUUUUUUAAUUAAAUAAAUACUUUUUAUUUUUUGCGGAUUCGCGGAUUUUUACGGAUUUACAGAAGUAGAUCCAUCUCCAAUCCAAUGAUUGCGGAUCAUCAAAUUUUUAAUCCAAUCCAAUCCACCAAUUCACGGAUCAGAUUUUUACGGAUCGAAUUUCUACGGAUCAGACGGAUUGAGCGGAUUGGAUUUUGAACACCGUAUGUUUGAUCAAGACCUAAUGCAAUUAUUAAGUAGAUAAUGAUGAUGUUGAUGAUUGUGAUGAUGAAAGGAAUGAUCAAGAAUUAUGUUAAAAUUAAGCAAUAAAGGAAAAUUAAUUUUGAUAGUAAAUUUGGUAUUAAAUCAAUUUUGAUAGUCAAUUAUGGUAACGAAACCCUGGCUUUAUUUAGUGCGCAUCGAAUGUAAAGUGUGUGGAAACUUAAAAAUAUUCCAAAUAAGAAUCCACUAGCUUGACUUUCGAUUAACAAAUACUUGGCUAACCAACAAUGAAUCCACUCCAAUAAGCCUAAGGAUAACUUGAGCUACGUUGUGAAUAUCAUGAUUGUCUCGUCAUGCCGUCGAAGCUCCACCUGACUUUGACUUGCAAUCGUACAUAAUAAGUAACAAAGACAGAUCGUGACUCAAUAGAUAUGCUACCAUUAUUACAGUUUUUAUUUUUAUUUUUAUUUUGUUCGAUGUCACUAAUCACUAUUAUAAGAAAAGAUUUAUAUAUAUUCUAUUUAUAGGGGAAACAUAUGGUGCAACUGUGGUACCGUGCCACAGUUGCAUCCAGUCGUUGGAUGUCAGUGGACCCCAUCAAUCCAAGUGCAUCCAACAGUUGGAUACAAUUGUGACACGGUACCACAGUUACACCGUAGCCUGAUCCCCAUUUAUAAUAUAUAUAUUUUUUAACUUUUCAUACACAAGUUCACAAUUAUCUAAUUCAUUUAUAAUAUUAAUCUGAAAUGUGUGGCUGUAAAAAGUUUGCAAAAGACAAGAUGAAAUUGGGUGUGGUUUAUGUAAUUUUACACAGAUAAAAUUGUUAAUCUAGAGGAGUUUUAUUAGGAAAUGAGGCGGCUGCAAAAUAGCAUCACUCUUAAAAAUAUUCAAACAUAAAAUUUUUAAAAAAAUUAUUUGUCACUUAAAAAUAAAUUCAAAUAGUAAAAAAAAAUUGCCCUAAAAAAGUAUAAAUCAUUUUAAUAGCAUAAGGAUGAAUUUUGGCCCCCUCAUGAAUUGUUAUCUUCAAAUCAUCUCCCUUACUUUUGAAAGUCUUAAAAUUACUCCUAUAUUUAGUCAAAAGAUAAGGAAAAAUAAGGGUGGGUUUAUUUAUUUAUUUAUUUUUGGCUUCUUAACAAAUAUGGAGGGUGAAUUAAGGUUCUCAAAAAUAAGGGAGCCGAUUUAAAAAUAGUCAAUUCACGGGUGAGUAAUCCAAAAUUAACCCGUAGCCUAAUAAUGAUUGAUGAUGGGAUGAAAAACUAUAUAGAUACGAGGUGAUGCUGAUCCUGGUGGGAUUUAGCUCGGCCUAAUUGUUGGCCAUGCGGUUUUACAUUUUAAACACCGCGGGUUAGGCCUAGAGAUGUUUUCAAGCUUCAGAGAUUUAGAAUUUCUAAAAGUGGACCUUCUACCCUGUUAACAUUCAAAAAGAACUAAAAAAAAAUAGAAUUUUAAUAUCAUUUGAAAUAUAUUAAUUAAAUUCUAUCGUCUGAAAUAAAUUAAUUAAAUUUUUACCCCAUUUUUUUAGAUGAAGGUGUAGCUCAAGUGAUAAGAGUCAAGUCCCUUCUUCAAAUUUCAUUAGGGAGAACGAGGUGAAAUUAAACCAACGAUCCUCUUAGAUAAAAAUAAAAAAUAAAAAAAAGGUGAGAGAUAUAUUUGAUUUUUUGAGUUUCAAGUUUGAUUUUUUGUCUUAAUGAAAAGGAAAAGAGAGGACAAUAGCUUUCAAGUUUAUCCUUAUCUAACUUGAAACCACAUGAAAAUGAGGUAAUUUCAGGUUUGUAUAAGAAAUAUGAGGAUAUAUAAGCAAAAGUGCAAAACUACACCAAAAUUGGAGUUUAGUUUUUAAAAUUACUAUAAAAUUAUAUGAUUUUGUCAAAGUGAUUUAGAAAAAAAAGAUUACAAAACACUAAAACUAGAUUUUAACUUUUAAAAAUUACUUUUAAAACUCCUAACCGCAAUACCAAAUAUGCCAUUUAUGUGAAACAAAAGAACGAUGAAGGCUGAGGGUGGCAUUUGGUAAUGUCUUUCUAAUGACGUUCCUAUAUUUGUUUUAGGAAAAAUGACAGUAAGCCCUUAAUGUUUGGGAAAAGAAACAUAAAUCCCGUUAACGUUUUAAAAAAGGCAUAUAACCCCUAUUUUUGUUAGUAAAUUCUUUUUUUUAAAAGGAGUAAAUUCUAUUUAUUUUAAUAGUAAAUUUAUUUUUAAUUUGUAAUUACUAUUAUGUCCCUGUAAUAAAUAAUUCAAUAUAUCGACUUAAGAUAUGUGAUGUGUAUAAUGAAAUCAAUAAUUUUUUAAUAUCACUAUUUACACAUAUAAUUUAUUAUUUUUAAGGCACAAACUGUCACGUCCAAUUUGAUACGGAUCCUCUCUUAAUUUAAUUUUUCCUAACAGCAGUCUUAUCCUUAUUCUUUUGACACUAUUCGAAUGUAGAAUAAUAUAUACAUGUGCGCGCGCGCGCUUGAAAAGUAAGGACGUAAGAAACUAGAACACCAAAUCAUUGUGCUAGAUUGAAGAAAAUUAUACAAAUUAAAACCACAUUUUCCAGGCCCAUUUCAACGUCACAAAACCUUUGAAACAAAAAUGAAAAGAUUCCACAAAUGAAUAUAUAUCAACUUCGUGGUAAAACUCAAUACAAGCAGGGCCGGCUCCACCGUUAGGCCGAAUAGGCACCCCAAAAAUAAGAAGGCCCAAUUUUCAUAAUUAGUUAAUCUAAUUAUAUUUCUAAUAGAAUUAAGAAGGCCCAAUUUUCACAACUAAUUAUUUAAUACAAUUAUCUUUGGCUUCCCAAACGGUAACUAAUUAUUUAAUACAAAUAGUAAUUAAAUAUUUUAAUUAUCUUUCCAAUAAAACUUUUAAUAUUCCUUUUACAAUUAAACACCUUAAAAGCAACGCCCAAAUCCUUUGCCUUUUCAAAUCUCUCUUCCUCAGCAAGAAAGUCUAGAAUAUUCAUUCUCAAUUCCAUAAUUCAAGCUUCAUCUAAUCAUCUCAUCUCCUUCCAGUGAUCAAAUUCGAAAUUAUUGGAUUCUAAUUGUUUGCUUCCAUUGAUUGAAUUCGACAUCUCAUCUACUCCAAUUUAUCAAAUUCGGCAUUCUUUGUACUUGAGAAAGAAAACCCAUUACCUAUUUGUCAGCAUCUUUUUUUCUAUGUGCACUCAUUCUAAUUAUUUCGUUUUCACUUUUCAGUAUUUGUGUUUUUUAUUAUUUGUUUAUGCUUUUGUUUGUUUGUUUGUUUUCAUAUAUAAUAUUAGUACUUUAUAGGAGAAGAUUUGUUGUUUGUUAACUUAUUUGUUUGUUUGAUUCUGUUUGUUAUUUAAAAUUGAAUAAAAUGUCUUUCUUAUGUUUGUUAAAUGAAAUGUCUUUCUUAUGUUUCAUUAAAAUAAAAUAAUGAGAUUAUUUAAUGAUUUUAAGAAUUGUUGUUUUUAAAUAGAGAAAUGCCCCAUACAAAAAUUUCGCCUAAGGCCACUAAUGUGCUAGAGCCGACCCUGAAUACAAGCAUCCAUCAACUUGGUGCCACAUUGAUACGCCACAUUGAUACAACAACAAUGAUAACAGUAGUGCAAAUCAAUAGCAGCGCAAAUCUAUGCAAUGUAUAAAUGAUUUCAGCAAUUGAAUGUGUGAAAAAUGUGGAGACUAAUGAGAUUGCAAAAAGAGAUCCAAAGAUAAUAACAAUGAGACCCCAAAAUUGCAAACAAUUUGCUUGAUUGCGAUGAGACUUGUUGUUAACUGCAAAUGCAAUGAAAUAGAAGAUUUUGGCUUGUAGAAAAACACACAAGCUUACUCUAAGAGCUCAAUCAAUGGUUUAGUUGUGCUUUACGCUAUCGCACGCACAACAACAACAAAAUGAGAUACCCAAAAACUUUUAGGUACUAAAUUGAGAAAAUGAAAUUGCCAUUAGUACAAAGCCAUCAAAAUUUAAAUAUGAAUUGGCUACAUUCUUAUAUUAUUUUCACUUGUUGCACAUGUCUCCACGGACCAAUGGUGGAACCAUGAUUUUAGUUUGAUAGGCACCAUAAUGAAGAAACUAUAAACUUGACUAUGGUAUAACGACAAAUCUGCAAAGUUGAAGUGACUAAGAGGGGGGCUAUAAAUGAUAAAGCAUAAAAAAUAGUAGGUUGUAACAAAAUUAUGUCAAAAUAAGAGGGCCAGCAUAAAAUUAAACUGAUGCAUUAAACUUCCAGUAUGCUUUUAUAUUUUUUUGGAUUAUUUCGAGGUGGCAUUGCAAGUACUGUUGAUGCGAGAUUCUGGUUGCCUUCUCUACCAAGACCAGGAUCUCUGCUCGAUCAACUCUACCACGACCAGGAUCUCUCCUUGUUAAGCUUCUCCUCCAAAAGUUCCUGCAUUCACAAAAGCAGGUCAGAGUACGCCGGUUGUUUUUCCGGCGUAAACCCUCCGACACUCAAGUCAGAUAUGAAUGUUUUUUUCGCUCUUGGGAAUACUAGCCACUAAUCUUAUGGCUUUUCAAUUCUCUCGAGCUCUCUCUUUUUUCCUCAGUUCUAAUCUCAAAAAUUCUAACCCUUUUACCUUCGUUGGCUACCUUUUUAUAGGUCUCUUCUGGAUUCAGACCUUCCCUCCAUUCAUGCUUGUUAUCCUCCCACCUCUUGAAAGUGGAUGUUCCAUUUCUGCGAUCGUGGGUGGUUGCAUGGCCUUCAUGCCUUGAUUCUCAAACUGGAGAGCACGUCUCGCCAACUGUCGUUGACCGGGUCUCCUCGACUCAACCCUUAACAGAAGUGUAGCAGGAAUGACUUUACGCUUCCAGCAGGAGAUUGGCCUCGUGGAUUGUGCACUUGUGGACGAGCAGGAUAUUUCUGCUCCUGCUCUCCCGGAUACCAUACUCUUACAAGAUAUACCUGUUCGAGGAACCCUGCUAUCAGAUGUCUGCUCAUCACUGCUGGUCUUCGUCGAAGCAUAUCCCACAAACAAGUACCUUCACUCCUGCUGUGGACGUAGCUUGGCAUGUAAGCAUAAAGAAGAAAUAUAUGCUCCCCCUUUGGCCAAAUUUCUGCAAUUAAUUUGUAAAUGACAGAGUCCACCCCCUAUCACUUAAUGCAAUAAGUGACCGUUUGUCUCAUCAAUGGAUCCACGCUUACAAUAAUUAAAUCAUUCUCAAAAUAAAUGUGAUUUUUAUCAUCUUAAUUAAAUGACAUCUCCAAUAAUUUUAUUUUUCUGUAUAUUAAAAAAUGGACUCAAAAUUUUAUGGAUGGGUCCUAAACUGAAUCGAUAUAAAUUUAUUUAAAAAAAAAAAAUUAGAUUCUACAUUGUGACCUACUACUAGAAUUUUAGUGGACUAGGUAAUAGGCACAAUUGCCUAGAGUGCUAGCAUUUUGAUUUCUGAGCCGUAAUAUCUGUCCCCUUUUAUUUAUCUCAACAGCUGUCACUUUUUAAUUUAUUUCAUCUAUUUCAAAAAGGUUACCCUCAUUAAAAAUUAAAAAAUAUAUAUUUCUCAACUUUUUCUUUUCUCUCUCAUCUGCACAAUUUCUCUCUCUCUUCUAGCAAUCACCAUUGUAUAUCUCAGCAACCAUCACUUCUUAAAUAAUUCAAUGUAUUUCUAAAAUAAUCCUGGUUAAAAAAUUAAAUUUUUUUCCCUCUCGUUUGCACUGUUAUUAUUUUUUCUUUUGUUUUUGAGUAUCCUACUUUGCUUCUUUAAUGAACGAAACAUUUUGUAAGUCAAAUUCAAGAACAAAGGAAACCAAAAAUAAAUAAAUAAAUAAAUAAAUAAAAAAUUUAGUAAAUUUUUUUUCUUAAUUUUAUUUUUUAGCUUUUAUGAGAAUGAUGAGUUUCAAGAGGUAGGAAAUAAUAGAGACCAGUGAUAUGAUAUUUUUUUUCCUAAUUCAUUCAUCACACAUCAAAAUCCAUACAAUUAAUAACAACAAAAUUCAUGACUUAUUUAUAAAAUUAGAUAAAACCCAACAACAAAAACUCAUUAUAAUCUACAAGCAAGUGGUGAUGGAUAGAUGAUGAUGAAAAUAAGCAGUGGGGAUGAUAGAGGGGAAAAUUAAAGAUAUAAGUAUUAAUUAUCCUUAUUAAAAAGUAAGGAUAAUUUUGAUAAUUACACAUAUUUUAAUUGAGGAGGGGGAUGCCGAGAUAUGUAGAGGGGGUUAAUUAUCACAACUCUUGACUUCUUUUUUUUUAAUUUAUUUUUAGACUAUAAAAUAGAUUGUAUGCAAGAUGCUGGUUUGUUUGUUUGCUUUUAUUUUUUUAUUUUUCUCGCUUUAAGUUUGUUCGACUUUUAAAUCACGUUCUUCUUGCAUAAUGGGAUUCUGAAUCCCAAAUUCAAGCGACAGCUUUGUGGGUCUCAAGUUAACUCGAUUUAUGUCUUAAAUGUAACUGGUGUGAAUAUCGAAUACAGUGCAUCAAUUGCAACAUAUACCCAUAUUGCAACAUGCAUUAACAACUAAUUUUUUUGUUGUAAAUAUAAUUUUUGUUUUGUUUUUCUUUUUUUGUAUGUCUAGUAAGACUGUGAAUAUUAUUAAUUGAAUUUAUGCAAAUUUGAUGAAAUUAUGCAAAUGCAAUGCUUUAAUUUGAGUGAAUUAUGAUAAAUUUUGGGAUUAUUAUAAAUUGAAUAAUUUCUUAAUGAGGAAGUUCUCAUUUUAUUAAUAUAAGAACAAAACUAUAAAAAAAUGAAAACACAUAUUUUAAUAUAAUAUUUUUUUCCUUUUAGCAAAUUAAAAUUCAUUUUCUGUCUCUUAAUUUGUUAAUCAUUUUAAAAAAAUAAGUUCUUCCUCACACAUGAUUAGAGGAAGACUUAUUAUAAAUUAUCUAUUAUGUAUCUAUGUCAUAUAAAUACCGCAACUUUCAUUUCAUUUCAUUCACACAUCAAAAUUUAUACGCUUUUGUAAUAUUUCAAUUUCGAAAUUGCGCAUUGUGGCAUGACAUCCUAUAAUCAAUCUACACAUCUUUAUUAAUAUUAUAAUUAACAUAAUUUUUUUUUAAUUUGAUGGGUUUUACCAAGUUAACAAAUUAAUUCUUUUUCUUCUUUUUCAAAAAAAAAUUCCUUUGUGGAAUGCAACGUCAGAAAAAAAAAAUUGCUAAAAGAGCUGUGUAAACAAAAUACCUAAGUUGACAAAAGACUUUUGUAUCAUAAAAGAUAUUAAAUGAAAUUGAAUACUGUUACAAAAACAUAAAUUGUUCAAUACCUUGACAAACCCACAAGGAAAAUACCCAUGUUAUAAAAAAAUAAAUACAAAUUCGAAAAGAAAAUCUAAAAGUCAACUUCAUUGCCUUGUAAAAGAGGAUAUGAAAAACCAGAGUAAGCUGUCACUUAGCCAGUGCACACUGCCAUAACAAAUAAUUCUGAUAUCUCAACAACAAUUAAGGAGGGUAAUUCAAUUACAACAUUGUUAACAAAAAUUAAAUAAAAAUAAGUUUAAACAAUAAACCAUCAAGAGACUGAAAAAUUAACAUAGAAGCAGGAAUACGACAAAAUGGGAACAAAUUGAGAGUAACAAGGGCCAGAGGCCAUCACCAUCGAAAGUCAGAGGUAUUUCAGAUGAGCCUCGUUGCCGAUCAUCAUGAUCACGAUGUUGGAGUCUGCAUGGUCCUCAGAUCCUUCAGCCACCGGCUCACGUUUUCAAUUGACUCUGAAGUUGCAAGAAAAAAAUAUUCUUUGUUCCCACCCCACAAGCCUGUAACUUAGUUUAGACUGUUUAAUUUGGACAGAUCUUACAGCAAUUCAAUCCAUUUCACAUGUGUUUUCAAAUAUUAUGCACUAGACCUACGAUUUUGUUCCUUGAAUUCAAAACCCACAAAGUCAUGUGCAUUUGUAGGAUUAUUAGAAGUGAUUAAGAUAUUAUGUUUUUUUUUCAAUGUCUCUUGUACCUUGGAAAACCACAGGAUAGUAACAUAACGGCUAAAACUCUUAAAUGUUUCAACACAUGAGUUGCACCCAUAACAAUUCAGUAAAUAAUUUUUUCAACCUGAUUUAACAUAUGGAGAACAGUCCUACUCACAUAUCCAAGUAAACAUCGAAUGCCGAUCUAAUUAUCUAAUUCAAUGAAAAAACCCCAUGGCUCAUAAGUUUCUCUUAAUGAAUUAAUUGCAAUUCCAAUUCAACUCUAACAUGCCAAAAGUCAACAUCAGGUUAGUUUCAGCUUGCAUUACCAACUCCAACAUACAGAGAACAGCCCUACUCACAUGUACAAGUAAACACCAAAUGCCGAUCUAAUUAUCCAAUUCAAUGUCAAAAUUCGCCGAUUUUCACUUGAUGAAUAAAUUGCAUCUAAAAUAUAUAAUUGAAAUCCCAAACUUUCACCCCAAUAUGUAGCUGUCCACAAUGGCACUGCCACUUCACUUACCACAUAAAAUUAAGCAUUUAAAUCGUGGCCCAAAAUAUUCAGAUUAAAAUUAUAAAGCAUUCUUUUUCAAAAAACUAACAAGCGUUAAACUUUAAGCUCCAAAAAAAAAAGUCAUUUCAUGUGAAUUACAAUCUCACAAUGAUAGAUACAAUUAAAUCUCAUAUAAACUAAAUCAAUAACCGAAUUAUAAGUUAAAAUCACAAAUCAAUCAUCAUACUAAUAGUAAUUACGCAUCAACAACGAAAUCAGAUGAAGGAUUGAGCAAGACUGAGAGUAAGAGAGGGAGAGGGAAACUUUAAAUUUUUUAUGAUGAUUUUUGAAUUUUAAGGACAAUAUGAAUUUCGUCCGAUAAAACUACUUGCUUUAAUUAAUUAUUUAUUUGCCUCCUAAAAGUCUCAAAAUCUAAAUGGCAAUAAAUCUAUAUAUAUGCUGCGACUAUUUUAAAAUCUGUGCAAGUCAUCCACAAAGGCCUUUUGUACUGUUUAUAGAAAUCAGGCUCUUACCUCAGUCAAUUAAUCACUUCCCAAUGAGCUGCUCUCAUCAAAUACUUUGGUUUCACUGGUUCCUGAGCAUUGAUGAAAGUUGAAGAUAAAGAAAAUUAGUUACAUUUUGAGGAGAAGAAAAAAUAAAAAAAGUAAACUUAUCAAGAAAACUUGAAUUGCAGAAUCAGAAGACUGAAUUCGCUAUGUAGUAGGGCUACUUACACUACAUUAAGCUACUGAAUCUCUAAGUUUGUUACUGAUCAUAUGUUUUCUGAUUUAGAGUGGAGAAAGGAUGGCUAGUCUGAAAACAUUGAAAUUUAUAUUUUUGGAUAAAAUGAAAUACAAAAUUUUAAGUUCUUGUGUUAAAAACAAACCACAGCAACCAACAGCUGUUGUGGUAAUCAAUACAGGACAGACUCCUGGUUUCUCAUUAAUUAAAUCUACAGCCUUCAAAAUUAGUUAACUAUUACGUGAACAGACAGUAAAGAGCAUUAUAUGUAAUUUUGUAUCUAGAAAUAUUCUUUUCAACCAGAAAAAAAAAAAAGAGAGAACUUCAAAUUCAGAAGCUGGUAUUAUAAAGAGCGACAGAUUGUUCACUUUUGUAGACACCUUUUCUUUAAUUCAACAUAGACUUUGCUUCCCUAGUUUGUUUUUUUCUUUUCCACCUUUUUAAAAGAAGUUUCCAUCCGAGUAGCUACUACAAAAAAAAUCAUCCUGUCAGACAGGUUUCUAUAACAAAUAACUUCUAAUCAAAGCAUAUUUUAUAGAAUACCUGAGAUGAGUCAGCAACUGAUGCCAAGGCAAUUAAUACACCUUCUUGCACUAUUUGUUUUCCAUUCUGCCACCAAAAAUGAAAAAUUUAGAGGAAGACAUUGUUCGUUCAUUAAAGUAUGGUGUGAUAUAAAUGUACGUAUUAUAAGUCAGGUGUUGAUUGUUCUUUCAAUAUACCUGAAGUAGCACUAGCAAUUUGCUCAUAAUACUAAGUACAAUAUAGGCACAUCUGAAAGCCACACAACAUAUAAUCUAAGAUUCCAUUGAUAGACCAGUAAUUCAGCAUACCAAAUAUGAGAGGAAAUCAAAUAACUAGGAAAGGGAGUUUUGUAAAAUUCUAAGAGCUACUAGGCCACAGAAUAGCUACACCAAUUUGCAGAGUCCAAUUAAUUCAUUUCUCACUUUUAACCCCUUGAAAGGUAAAACAUAGAAUAUUCCAUGAAAAAACCUUCAGAAAAUUCUGGAAGCCAUAGAGUAACAUUUAUGAAAUGAUCGUGCUAAAAAAAGAUUCACAUAAGUAUGUAAGAAGCCUAGAAUCCACAUAUAAAAAAAAUAAGGUAAUGAAGAUCACCAUUUACCCCAUAUACAAUGAUGAGGACAUCCAAAGAAGAUAAUAGUCUCCACAUGCCACAAGAAAAAAUUGAACAAAUUGGUUACUAAACAAAAAAAAAAAAAGGGAGAUCAAAAGGCGUCCCAACAUGACGCCUAUCCUUUCUAAUAAACUCACCUGAUUGCAAAGGCAUUGUAAUAAAAUAGAUGUGUAAUUAGUUCCAUAAGAAAAAAACUAAAUAUCCAACAUAAUCCAUACCAAAGCACAUCUCUCCUUGAGUAAUUGCUAUUGAGGCACCUCUAACCACAAAAUAUGUACUAGGAGAAAACAAAUGAGAUCCAUUGAAAAAGUACUAGGAAGGAAAUGCAUUUUUGAAAGGGGGGAAAAAAAGUGUAAUUCACAAAUGUGGUUCAUUGGACAUAUCAUGGAAGGAAAGAAAUAUUAGUUUACACUUAAAUUUAUUUAUUCUCUAAAUUCCAUGCACACAAGACAGCUGUGCCCAACACUGGGGCAUAUGAAUGGAGUUGUGCAACUUUAAUAGUUGUAUACGAAUGAGCAAGCUGGUCCAAGAUCCACUACAAUGAAUGCGGGCACUAAUUUCUUUCCUAGCUCUGACUCUAAUACCCUAGUUUAGCUUAAAGAAUGGCUUAAAAAAGAUGAUAAUACAGAUAAGUUAGUAAACAGAACCCAUCUAGUUUCAGCAAAACAUAAGCUGGCCUAAUUAUAACUCAAUUCUUGUACUGCUUAGUAAACAAAAGCCAUCUGGUUGCAGCUUAAUAGUUCCAAUACAUGCUUAAUGUGGAUUAAUACACUCUCUUCGACAGUAUCCAAAUGCCAAAAAAUUAAUAAUCAAAUAAUCAAAGCCCAAACCUAAAUUUUUUAAAUUAAGAGACAUAAAUUAGAUCCCUCACCAUAAAUUAGAGGAAAAACUCAUCAACUUUGGUGAGAUUAAACGGGUACAAACAUGAAAUUCUCGAAUAAAAGCGAGAUUGAAACCAAACCUCUUCCUUUGUAUCGAAACCGAUCGAGAUAAAAAAAUUUCAAAUGAAAGUGAAAGCUUCUUCGAUCGAAUGAGAGUGAGAGCUGACAUUCAUGAAAUUAGGGAGCAAAUCCAUCAAAUUUGGUAAAAUUAACUGAAAAUAAACUUGAAGAUGCAUCAUGAAAGGCGAGAUUUAAACCAAACCUCUUCGUCUUCAUUGAAACUGAGAUCAUGGAAUUUCAAAUGAUUGUAACGAUGCUUCUUCGAAUGACAGUAAGAGAGAGAGAGCUGAUAUGUUUUGGUUUUUUUAACCCCCAAAGUGUGGGGCCGAGAGCUACAGAAAUUUGGCUGUUCUUUUUUUUUUUUUCUUCUUUUCCCCGCGAAUUUCAAGUACUGGGGAAUUUUAAAAUAAUUUUUAUUAUUUGCUAAUUUCUUCACUUUUAGAUACAUAAUUAGUUAAGUUCGUUCAUACAGUCAAAAGUUUUUGACAUUAAUAAAACGUCAUGACACAUGUUCCAAUUUUAUUGGUGUUAUUAAAUAUUUUUUUUAAUGAGGUACGCAAUGGAUAUAUUUACUAUCACAAUUUCAGCAUUUAAGUCAAUGUAUUUAACUAUCCUGAAAAAUUAUCAAUAAUAAAUGUCAAAAAUUUUCUUUCAAAGAUUGUCAAUUUUCCUAUUACUGAAAUCUACUUACUCCCUAUUAUUUUUAUGAUAACUAAUAACUCCCAACAAUAUAAUUUUAUAAUAUUACUCUUAUUUUUAAAUACAUAUUUAUUCAUAUCUAUUAUAAAUUAAAUAAAUCAUACAAAUAGAAAUUAAAAUAAAAAAUUUAAGUAUUAAAAAUAAAUAUAUUUUUUUAUCUGCUGUACGGCCAAGUAAAUAACAAAAAUAUAAAAAAAAUAUUUUAUUAUUAAUUUUUUAUUCAAAUCAAAACAUAUAUUUCUUAUUUUUAAUACUUUUUUUUUUUUAUUUUAAUUGCCAUUCAUGGGUAUCCUUGGAGCCAUCGUUCAGGCCACAACGAGCCCUUACCCUAAACGCAUACAAUAAGUAUGUGGAGUUUUCUUGUGACCCAAGUAAUCUACUACUUUCCCUUUGCAGUUGACAUCAAGUCUCUAAUUUGUCAAGAAAAUACAAACAAUGCAUAUAUUUAUAUUUUAUUUUAUAUUUUAUAAUAACAAUAAAACAAUGCAUAUAAGAAUAUGAUAUCGAACGCACUAUUAAAAACUAUAUAUUAUUGAAUGAAAAACUAUAUAUUAUUGAGUAUAUAUUUUGAUCCAUUGAAAUCUGCAAACUUAAGUGUAAUCUCUGAGUAAAAAGUCUUGGACGAAAUUUUAAAACAAAGAUUAAGCUUCUCCAACUACACUGACGACCGUUGUUCUUGUUCCAUCGAAGAGAAGUUGUUAUGAUGAGCUUGAAACCAAUUCAAGAAUUCAAGAUGUUGCAGAAAAAUGGCCCGACCGUUGUUCUUGUUCCAUCGAAGAGAAGUUGUUAUGAUGAGCUUGAAACCAAUUCAAGAUGUUGCAGAAAAAUGGCCUCAAAAUUUCUUGGUAAAGCCAAUGACAAGUAUUCAUAAGCUUUCUGCCAUAUUGGUACACAACUAUGAUAACAGCAGUGCAACUUAAUGCAAUGUAGCAAAUGAUUUCAGCUAUUAACUGUGUGAAAAAUAUGGAGACCAACGACACUAUUGAAAGAGAUCCAAAGAUAACAGCGAUAAGGCCACAUAGUUGUGAAGAAUUUGCUUGAUAGCGUCGAGGCAUGUUGUCGGCAGCAAAUGCAAUGUAGUGGAUGAUUAUAGCUACUAAAGAAACACACAAGCUUACUCUAUGAGUUUCCGUCAACGGCUUACUUGUGCCUUGCACAUUCGCGCCCAUAACAGUGACCAAGGUCGGGAUGAGAUAUCCAAAAAUUUUUGUGGAUGAGAUUGAGGAAAUGAAAUUGUCAUCACUGCAAAACCAUCAAAUUUAAUUUUUAACAAUGAAGAGGAAAGCUUCAUAUAUAAGAGAAAAAGACCCAGACCAAUAGACAUGUUUACGAGCUUUACAAUAUAAUGAGUCAAUAUUGAAAACUUUGUAACUCUCUAAUUUGAUCAAGUUCAGCUCUGGUCAAUAAAAGUCAAAACAUUCUGGUGUAAAUAACUUGCGUUUAGUGAUUAUGUAGACUCUUUGAUAUAUUUAGUAACUGCAGAAUUUUUGUCUAGAUGACAUACGAUUCCUUUUUUAUUUAAGAUACACUCAUUUUAAGAAGAGUCGGGAUAAUUAAUUCUCCUACUUAUGUUGUGUUCUAUUGUGUGACCUUUUUGCAAUUGAUCAUUUUGCCAUUUUUAACCUUGUUUCUUUGACUUAAUCUUGAUGUUCUUGUGUUAUCUCUUGAUUAAGCAAUGUUAAUUGAUCAUCUAUCAAUCAUUCUUAGUAGUUGUAUUAUUAUUAAGUAAUAAUAUUCGUCAUGCUCUGCCAUAGCAGAGCAUUUCUCAGUUAUGGCAGAGCAUGAUAAAGGGAAUUAAGAAAAAAAUGAAUAAUUCUACAAAAUCCAAAAGAAGAGAAACUUAUAAGCUUUCUGGGUUUAUAACAGUAACGAUCUUCUAGAAUUUAACUUUCUCUAGCUAAAAAAAAAGUUUUUGCCUGCAUCAAGAUAAAUUAAUAAUGCAUGAACAAACCUCAUACACUAGUCUAACAUGGCACCAUCAAGCUCUAGCCCUUACUCUUUAGAUCACAAAAUGCUCAUAGCAAAGCUUAUAGUCAGAUAAGAAAUGCCAAAAAAGAUGACAAAAGUAAUUAAGCUUUGUAUGAAUAAAAGAAAGAACUGUAUGAUUGAAAAUUUAGCUCAUAAUAACUAAAAUUGUAAGAAAAGUGUACGUAUAUACCUUGAAGGAUCAAAGUUCUGUCGACGAAGGUGAUGGUGGCAGGGGCAGGUUGUUGGCAUCAUAUUGAUCUCGGAAUGCAACUCUUCUUCUUCUGCACAAGUUCAACUCACUCAGGAGCACAAGUUCAACUCACUCUGGAGCAGAAGUUCAACUCGUUGUUCUUAUAUGCAUCACGAUCACGGAAAGGGAAAAGUUUGGGGGGGCAAUUUUGGAAUACACAUGGGGCCCAUAAUUUCAUUGAAAAUGAAAAAGGUUGGGGGCAAUUUUGGAAUUUGAAUGGCUUCUGGCGGAUUUUUAUGGGGCCCAUAAUUUCAUUGAAAAUGAAGGAGGCCCGGGGGGCAAUUUUGGAAUUUGAUUCGGUUCUGGCGGAUUUUUAUGGGGCCCAUAAUUUCAUUGAAAAUAAAGGAGGCCCGGGGGGCAAUUUUGGAAUUUGGAUGGCUUCUGGCGGAUUUUUAUGGGGCCCAUAAUUUCAUUGAAAAUGAAGAAGGUCGGGGGGCAAUUUUGGAAUUUGAAUGGCUUCUGGCGGAUUUUUAUGGGGCUUCAUUGAAAAUGGAGGAGGCCCGGGGGGCAAUUUUGGAAUUUGAUUCCAGCGUAUUCUUAUGGGGCCCAUCAUUUCAUUGAAAUGAAAAAGGUUGGGGGGCAAUUUUGGAAUUUUGGUGGCUUCCUGCGGAAUUUUUGGGGCCCAUAAUUUGUCGAUGAAAUACCAUUUACACUAUCAGCGAUAUUAACUCGGUUACCCAGUGGAAAAGAGUUAGCACACUUUUGACGAAUCACGCCGAAGAAAGGGGAAAAAGAAAAAUAAAAAAAAUGCUACCUCACACAAAUAAUCAAUUUUUUUACUAUAUAAAAUUCUAAUUAAUUUUUUUCUUUCAAACAAUCAAUUAUGUAUGAUUAAUCAUAUUUCCUACUAUCAAAAGACAGCAAGUCGGUAAUAAAUUGCACAUAUAAGGUAUUCAAAUUUAAAAUAAUUUCCAUUGCUGAUUGAGUAGAAAAAAACAAAUUAUAUUUUAUUUAUAUCAUUCACACAUAUUCAAGCAACCACUAUUUAGCAACUCUAAAUGGGACUUACAAUAUUAUGUUAAAUGUUAUAAAAUACUUGCUUAGACAAAUUACCCUCACAGACGAGAAAUGUCUCGUCUCUACUCCACUCGUAUUUCGCAAGGGAGAAAAACUUAUAAAUAACCUCACACAAACGAGAAAUGUCUCAACUCUACUCGUAUUUCGCAAAGGAGAGAAAGACUUACAAAUAACCUCACACAAUCAUGCAUAUUACUUAAUUGAUGGAGUUUGGGUUCAUGGAAAUUCAAACCCUUACCCUCACAAUCAUACUUAACUAUAAAAGUAGAGACUCGUAGCUGGGCCAAAGGCUCAUUGACAUGUUAGGAGUUAAAGUUAACCAACUAAAAUGGAUUCCAUCCAUGGAGGCAUGAUAAAAAGAAUAAUAAUAAUAAAAUCGAAAGACAAUGAUGGACCGUUGGUUUUGUAAUUCUUUAUGGGAGCUUAGUAGCAAUGAAAGUGCAAGGAAAUUUACUUGAUUUAUGUAUUAAACUUAACAGGUGUGAAUACUGAAUAUGGUGCAUCAAGUAGAACCGUAUAUCCAUUUUAUUUUCCGUUAUUAAUAAUUAUUUUUUCUUUUUUGUAAAUAUAAUUUUUGUUUUCUUUUUUGUUUGUCUAGUAAGACGGUAAAUAACAUUAAUUGAAUUUAUGCAAAUAUGAUUGAAAUUAUGCAAAUGCGAUGCAUUAAUUUGUGCAAAUUGUGAUCAAUUGUGGGUUUACUACAAAUUGAAUAAUUUUCUAAUGAAGAAGUUGUCAUUUUAUUAAUAUAAGCACAAAUGUAGAAAAAAAAAAAAUGAAAACACAAAUUUUAAUAUAGUAUUUUUUUGUCUUUUAAUAAAUUAAAAUUCAUUUUCGGUCUUUUUAACUUGAUCGUGAUUUAAUAAGGUAUUCCUCACACCUGAGUAGAAGGAGACUUAUUAUAAAUUAUAUCUUAUAUAUCUAUUAUCAUAUAAGUACCGUUAAUUUCAUUUCAUUCACACAUCAAAAUUUAUGUGCUUUUGUAAUAUUGCAAUUUCUAAAAUGCACACUGUAGCAUGACAUCCAAUAAUCAAUCUACAUGUCUUUACUAAUAUUACAAUUAACUUAAUCUCUUUUAAUUUGAUGGGUUUUUAGCAAGUUGACAAAUUAAUUCUUUUUCUUUUUUAUCAAAAAAAAAAAUCAUUUGCGGAAACAAAUGAAAUAAUGCAACCUCAGAAAAAACUUGCCAUAAGAACUGUGUAAAACUCUGUGUGUGCGUGUGUGUAUAUAAAAGAAAAUAAAAAAAUUGAGGGGGACUUUUGUAUAAUAAAAGAUACUAGUUAUUGUUACAAAAACAUAAAUUGUUUAAGAUCUCUGCAAACACACAAGGAAAAUACCUAUUUUAUAAAAAAAUAAAUAUAAAUUAGAAAAGAGAAUAUAAAAGCCAACUUCAUUGCCUUGUAAUAGAGGAUAUGAAAAACCAGAGUAAGCUGUAACAUGGCUAGUGCGCACUGCCAUAAUAAAAUAAUUCUGAUAUCUCAACAACAAUUGAGGAGAAUAAUUCAAAUACAACAUGGUUAACAAAAAUGAAAUAAAAAUAAGUUUAAACAAUAAUCCACUGAGAGACUGAAAAAUUGACAUAGAAUUUAGGAGGUGUUUCAGAUCACUCUUGUUGCCGAUCAGCAUGAUCACGAUGUUGGAGCCUGCAUGGUCCCGAAGAUCCUUCAGCCAUCGGCUCACGUUUUCAAAUGUUGUUGAUUUUGUCACAUCAUAAACCAAAAGAGCUCCCAGUGCGCCCCUAUAAUAGGCACUGGUUAUUGCUCUGUAUCACUCCUGGCCUGCAGUAUCCCAGACCUGGGCUUUUAUUGCCUUCAACCAGAAAAUCACAGAUUUCUCCUUAGUCCUACAACAAAACGCUGCUUUAAGCAAAAAAAUGGAAAAUUUACGAAAAUAACCAUUAAUAUUUUAUUAUUUUCGCAAUUAACCGUCUCAACUUUUUUCUAUCAAUAUUAGCCAAACACAAGCCUUUCUUCCCAGACUACCCUUCUUUACAGAACAAAACCAACAUUGUUUCUCCCAUAUCGCCAAACCAAAAGCAGCUUUUCACUCUUGAAUCAUCAGCCAACGGUGACCGCAAAAGACAACGGUAAAAGUGAUAUCCGAUCAUAAUCUAUCCGGAUCCAACACAAAUCGACAUCACUUAGUGGUAUGAAUUAUUUUCUGAACUUACUGAGUCGGGUGAAUCUGAAUCUGGCGACAGGCUGCCUGUCGCAGCAAAACUUGGUGCGACAGGCAACCUGUCGUACCAAGCUUCGGGCGACAGGUUGCCUGUCGCACUCACCCCGGUGAUUCAUUAAAACUGUAUUAUUUUAAUAGGACUGAAAUAAUUUUUUUUUAUAAUUUCAAGCUUAAUGGAUUCAGUUGUUCUUGAAUUGUGUUACGAUGGUUGGUGGGAGACAUUAGAGAAUGGCCGUAUGGAGUACGUGAAUGGUAAAAAUCAAGCUUUUUUUGUUGGAAAAAAUUAUCUGUUUGAUCAGUUAUUGGCAAGAGUAUAUGAGGUGUUACAAAUAAACCCUAAUGACUAUAGUAUCACAAUGAAGACAACUUUGAGGUCUAGUAACACAUUAUAUCGUAUGUGCAAUGCCCAUGGAUAUAUGUAAUGAUGAAAUGGUGAGGGUUGUGUUGCAUAUGGCAUCUGACGUAGCUAAUUUUGGAUGCAUUCCUAUAUUCGUGACCACAUCACCUCGAGUUCCGAGCGAAGGUAUUGAGCCACAUGUCGAUACAGAAACUUCGUUUAGAGCAAAUAUGUCUGGCCCCGAUAAUGAUGAAGAGGUGUUGCCAAGGACAAUAUCGCUGCAGCAAUAUUACUCUCCAAUCCACGACAAUUAUGACAACAUUGAUGAUAAUGGCGUUACGUUACAGGAUGUUCUGCUGUACGGCCAAGGGGGAUGUACGGUACAGCAGCCAAAGUUUAAAAAAAAAAUACGUUAGAGCAACGGUAUUCUCCGUAUCACAACAAUGAUUUUCGGGACAAUGAUGAUUUUCAUAAUGAGACAGAGGGGGAUAAUGUUUGUGCAGAACCUUCUAAUAAUACGAGGCGGGGCACUCGUUUCAAUAAUGACGGUGAUGAUGGAGAAGCCGGUCCUUCGAAUGUUCGGUCAUUUCAGCAUGAGGAUGAGUGUGAAGACAAUACUCCUAUGAAUAACAGAGGCAAUAGACUUAUUCCUUCUAUGGUCCGAACCAUUGUCAUAUCACCAGCGAACCAUCGAUCAAACUCAGCAAACAGACUAGAAUCCUCCAAUCCUCUCAGUGGAUUUAUAUAUACACUCGUAUUCAUGUCAAUCGCAUGGUCCAUGAUUUGGGGUCGAGGUAUAGGCCGAGCGUUCUUUCCUCGCCUGAGUGGAGGAAUCAUGUAAGGACUGUUAUAAACAUACGACGGUAUGUACGCGCGGCCGAACUUACUAACGCCCGGAGGCACCUCAGAGAACACCUACACGCUCUCCCCACUAACAUUCCCGUAAAAAUUAUACAAUGACGUGGGCGUAGACAAAUUUUGAUUGCUCACGUCAGUAUACACUCCAUAGUCAUCCGGGGCAUGUCCAUUCGCCAAGAUGAACAUAUUAAACAACUAUUAAAUUAAAAGUUAAACGAACAUAAUUAUUAAAUUUAAUUAUGCUCACCGCAUACGAGCGUCCGGUGAGAGAAUCCUUAUUUAGAUGUGUAGAAAAGGUGUCGAUAAAGCCAAUUACGGUUUUUUAAAAUCUUUUAAUUCCGACUUCAAUUUAUACACGUUACGAUCAAUCUUAUCCAGCCGUCGUCGCACGCAAUCAUUAAACUGCUUUGUCCUCGACUAUUACAAAAGAAAAUAAUGCACGGUCUACUACGACACGUUUCGAGGCUCACUAUUGUUUAGAAUCAUGUAAAUGGCGUAUACGAGCAACUAGAAAUUCGAACGACCAAAAUGUUCCUUGGGUGAUGAAGAGAAUUGAUAAUGUACACACUUGUCAUAAUGAGGUAUUGGUUGAUGGACGUCAUCAAGUAAGGAGCCGGGUUGUCGGUCAUAUUAUCGCAGAAAAAUAUAUUCAAGAUAAGAGGAUUUAUACUCCCAAUGACAUAAGAGCAGAUAUGCAACAGGAAUACGGUGUUCAGUUAACAUACCAACAGGCAUAUAGGGCGAGAGAAGUUGGUCUUGAAAUAGUUCGCGGCAACCCUGCAGAGUCAUACAACUUGCUCCAUAAAUACUAUCACGUACUAACUACAGCGAAUGAGGGUACAGUCACUCACCUCGAGCAGGAUGGAGAUGGUAAUUUCUUGUACUAUUUUGUAGCACUCGGAUCUUCCAUCAAGGGGUUUAUGCAGUACAUUCGGCCUGUCAUUGCUGUAGAUGGUACUCAUCUGAAGGGACUAUAUCGUGGAAGCAUGUUCGUGGCAACAUGUCUUGAUGGUAACAAUCAAUUGUAUCCGUUAGCCAUUGGGAUCAUGGAUUCAGAAAACAACGAUGCUUGGGAAUGGUUUAUGAUGAAGUUACACAGAGUGAUUGGCGAUAGACCUGAAUUGGUAAUUAUCUCUGAUCGAUGCACUGCCAUAAGGAGAGCCGUUCUUAAAGUAUUUCACAAUGCAACUCAUGGCGUUUGUUUUUACCACGUCAAAGGUAACAUUAAGUCACAAUUUAGAAUGUCCAAAGCUCUUUGGGAUGAAUUUGAGCCUGCCUUUAUUAAUGCAGCAAAAAUAUAUGGCCACGAGGAAUUUAAGAGACAACUUAAAGGGUUGUGGAUGAUCCACUCGGGUGCGGCUGAUUACCUAGAAAAUAAUGUCGGUACGUGUAAUUGGGCAAGGUCGCAGUUUGAAGGUAGGAGGUACAGCAUUCUUACCACCAACAUCGCGGAGAGUGUUAAUGCUUUCAUAAGGGAACCUCGAAAAUUUCCUGUUACUCAUCUUGUUGAUCACUUUAGGAAAACAUUGCAGCAAUGGUUUUAUGAUAGAAAAAUUGUGGCUGAAUCAAUGACUACUCGGCUAACAACAUGGGCGGAUGAAAUAGUCACUGAGAGGAGAACUAUAGCUGAAAGAAUGAUAGUUCGGCCGGUGUCUCCGCAUCGCUUUCAAGUUAUAGGCGGUGGGCUUAAGGAAGGGUUGGUUGACUUGCAAAAGAGAACUUGCUCCUGCAGAGUGUUUCAGCUUGAUCAGCUUGUGUGUGCUCAUGCAAUUGCGGCGUGUCUAACACACCGGGUGGAUUUUAUUAACCUUUGCUCGGACUUUUACACUACAGAAUCGUUGGCGAUGGCUUAUGCACAACCAGUGGAGCCAGUUGGUGAUGUGGCUGAUUGGGAAGUGUCAGAUGAAAUUCAGGAGAUGGAAGUAUAUCCACCAGUUGAGGCACCACCACCUGGCCGUCGUAAAGAGCUCAGAAUACCCUCGGCUGGCGAGGAGGUUGACCGGCGGACUGUUAGAUGCGGCCGGUGUUAUAAACUAGGCCAUAAUCGUAAGUGAUGUAAGAAUCUUAUUGCGUCGACUCGAAGUUAGUUGUAUUUUGUGUGUUAUUCGUUGGUUAAAACUAUUAUUGUUUUUGUGUUUCGUUGGUUAAAACUGUUAUUAUUUUUUGUAUUUCGUUGGUUAAAACUGUUAUUAUAUUUCGUUGAUUAAAAAUGUUAUUGUUUUUUGUGUAUUAUACACUUAUAUUUCAUAAAAUUUUAUUUUAUUUUAAAGUUCAAAAUGUGAAGCAUUAAAAUUAUAUAAACUUAAGUGCGCAAAUUAAAAAAAAAAUUCAAAUUUCAACAUUAAAAUUACUACAUAGGUCUACAAAAUAAUAUCGUCAUUAAAUAUAUCAACCGCAAUCUUCUUUCUAAAGUACUUGCGCUCUUAACUGCGAUAACUUUCCACGGGUCUUCACUUCGCAACUCAGGUCGGAUAUUGUAGAAGCCAACAUAUUCCAACCAUCGAGGGAAUAUAACUUCAAGUGGCUUGAAUUUCAACUUGUACCUUUUGUCGUCGCGAAAUGUGAGUAAUGAGUCAUAAAUCCAGACUUUAUUUUUCCGAAAGUCAACUCGUGCUAGUGUCCAAUGCGCGCCGUCUAAGUUAACAGGGAUGAGUAACUGCAUAUAAAAAUUGAAAAACAUGUUUGUUAUAUAUGCAAUUAAAUACAACCAAGAAAAAGCCAACAACUCGAAUAUUUUCAUUAUAGAGCAUGUGAAAUGUAAUAAAAUACAUACCACAUCGACAUCCAUCAUUGAUUUGGACAUUGUGUGCUGUCGCCCACAAAGAUAACUAUUCAAGCGGUCGUCGAAUACUAAUGAAUCGACCGCACAAUCCCCGUUGUUCCAUAACUGAUUCAAGAAAACCUAGUACAUAGAUAACCAAGAAAUGCAUAAAUGAACAAAACUUAAAGGCAAUAAUUAAAAAUCAAAUUAAAUAGUCUUUAUAAGUUUUGUCGGCACGUUACCCAAAAAAAUGUGUCAGUAUGUGUGACACGUUGGAGUAAGGCAUUUGGAUAUUGCCGUUGUUUCUCGCUAAUCAAGCGGAGAUACUCGUGAAUAUGCUGUAGAGAAAUAGAUAUAUUACGAUUUAAAAGAAAAAUUUUGGUGAAACAAAUCCACAACAGUAUACAUAACUUCGAAAAUACCGAAUACCUCAUCGCCUAGCCAUCCCAUCGAAGCUGUACCCAAAAUUAUUUGAAAGAAUGACCGCGGGUGCUGGACUCUCCGGCGGACUCUGCUAUCACCAGUGAACCAUCGAUCAAACUCAGCAAACAGACUAGAGUCCUCCAAUCCUCUCAGUGGAUUUAUAUCCACACUCGUACUCAUGUCAAUCGCAUGCUCCAUGAUUUGGGGUCGAGGUAAAGGCCGGACGUUCUGUCCUCGCCUGACCGGAGGAAUCAUGUAAGGACUGUUAUAAACAUACGACGGUAUGUACGCACGGCCGAACUUACUAACGCCCAGAGGCACCUCAGUGAACACCUGCACGCUCUCCCCACUAACAUCCCCGUAGGAACUAUACAAUGACGUGGGCGUAGAAAAAUUUUCAUUGCCCACGUCAGUAUACACUCCAUAGUCAUCCGAGGCCUGUCCAUUCGCCAAGACGAACAUAUUAAACAACUAUCAAAUUAAAAGUUAAACAAACAUAAUUAUUAAAUUUAAAUUUGCUCACCGCAUACGAGCGUGCAGUGGGAGAAUCCUUAUUUGGACGUUUAGAAAAUAUGUCGAUGAAGCCAACAACGGUUUCUUUAAAAUCUUUUAAUUAUGACUUUAUUUCAUACACGUUACGAUCAAUCUUAUCCAGCCGUCGUUGUAUGUAAUCAUUAAACUGCUUUGUCCUCGACUAUUACAAAAGAAAAAAUUAAAACUUUAGAAUAACAAAAAAAAAUUAAUAAUUUACAAAGAAAAAAUUAAAGUAUAUUAUUUAUAACCUCAGAAUCCCGUGCGUCAUCAGAGUUGUCUGUUUGCUGCUGGUGGUCAUCAACAACCACCUCAUCCUCAGAAGUGUCAUGACGCUGCUCUGGUAUUGGGUUUGGUAUGUCGUCAUGAUCGUCAUGCUCGUCUGAUUGCCUUGUAACCGACGGCAUCGCGUUGAUUGAGGGUUGGUGCUGUAUAAAGUAUCAUUUAAAAUUAGUAAAUGAAAAGCUAAAAAUUUUGAUUACAAAAUUUUUAGUACUUAGAGUAUACCGACCUUAUGAACCCAGUCUAGAAUGCUUGGCAAGUAAUCCUUCACAGAGAGCCAAUAUUUUCUGCUACUCUCCUUUGAAUUUGGCUCAAGACUUUGUAAAACGUCCCCCUGCCAUAAAUUUAAUUGAAAAUUUUCAGUAAGUAUACAUAACUUAAAUUUAGUCAAGUUAAAAAAAUAAGUAAUACAUAUUACUUACAAGACGAGAUUCGUCGUUGAAGAAUGAAUAAACCUCCGCAAAGUUGAUUCUCGAAGACGCCAUGGGCUUCCAUUGCAGAAUGAGGGGAAUCUUAUUCUUCGUUUUGACGACCCAUGUUGAUGGCAACCCUCCGAUUGCUUCGUAAAUCCAAGCCUACAACAACCAAAGUGAAAAAUCAAAUAAAACAACUAUCAAAUAUUUAAUACUAUAAAACUUAUUAAUAAACAAAAAAAAACGCAUCUGAACCCCAGACGUAAAGCCGUAUAGAUUGUAUUUUUCAAUGUUAUGAUCUGGAUUUUUCAACCGAGUCUUCUUAAAUUUCUCGUCUUUCUCGAACAGUGCAUUGUCAAGACUCUCGUAAAUAAUUUCCCACGACAAUAGACCCCAUGGACGCUUUCGGAAGUACUGUAUAUCAUCAACUUGGUCAAGCCAAUCGAAAUUAAUUUGACAGUGAUUUUUUCUUGCAUUUAGUACUCUGUCCGCAAAAUAAAACAGCGCAAUCUUUAGUGCGUCCAUAUCGUCAAUUUCCUCGAAUUUCAACUCCUUAAAUACUACAUCGAAUUGCUUCACAUUAAUCUUACGAUGCACACCACCAAAAUACGUAUUCCGUAGCCUCUGCUCUAUUUCAUCAUUUUUUUUAUUGGUAUCAACACCAAAUGAAAGUCCAGUAACCAAGCACCAUUCGACAAUUGACAAGCGAAUCAAAUGCUUACCAAUUUGAAACCAUAACUGAUCCUCACGGCUAUCUUCUUCAUGGGCCACUUGCCGCAGUAGAAGAUUGUGUAAAAUUACCCCACUGAAUGGAAAACUUCGACACUCCAAGAAAUGGCCAAAUAUAUCCUUUUUGAACAUACGCAACUGCAGGUUUGUUAAUUUUUCCUCAAUGGCUUUAACGACCGAAGAUAACAUACACAUGCUCAAAACUCGACCAGGAAAGUGAUCAUCAUAACGAAAAUACAUCUUGCCUACUUCAAUAUCCGGUGAAAAUUCGAUCAGGAAAGUGAUCGGCAUAACGAAAAUACAUCUUGCCUACUUCGAUAUCCGCUGAUUCUGAUUUCGCCAUGUAUCUAUAAUAUUUAUAAAAUUAUUACAUUACAUUUACAAAAAAAAAAAAAUUAACUCGUUACAAAAAAAAAAUCUAAUUUUUGGUGCGAGAGGCUUGCUGUCGCACCAGAUCUGGUGCGAUAGCGUGCCGCGCAUGGGCGCGCGCUGCUGCCCAGCGAUGGGCGCGCACGCGCACCCUGCCCCCCUCCCUCCCCACCCCCAAAAUUAAGCGCAAUCACUCCAAAAUCGAAAACAAUACUCCCAAACACCACCAACCACCACAAACAUCAUCACCACCACUAUUAAUCUCAAGCUAUAACUAUUAUUAUUCUAAAAUCUCAUUUUAAAUUAAUGAAAAUAAGAAAAAUGACUAACCUAGGUUUUGUUGAAGGUUGUAGAUCGUAGAUCGGAUGCCGGUGAGAGAUGGAGCCGCCGCCGAAGAAGGUUGAUGUCGCCGCCGAUGAUGGGAGUUGGAUCGGUUUGGGAGAGAUGAGUGAAAGGGAGUGUUGGGGGAGAGAUGAGGGAGGGGUAUUUUGGUCUCAAAGGUUGUUUUAUGGCUAAUGUUGAUAUAAAUAUUUUUGGGGGGUUAAGAUGAAAAAAAGCAAAACUUUUUUGGUUAUUAUUGUAAAUUUCCCCAAAAAAAUUCCAUUUUUAAUUGACUCUGGAGUUGCUAGAAAAAAAAUUUCUUUGUUCCCACAAGCCGGUAAAAGAGUUAAGACAAUUUAAUUUGGACAGACCUUACAGCAAUUUAAUUCAUUUUACAAGAUGAAGCAGGGUUUGCAAAAUAUUAUGCACUAGACUUAUUAUUUUGUUCCUUGAAUUCAAAACUCACAAAACCCUAAGACCUCUUUAAAUUUCACACGCUAGUGUGAGUUGACAAUAACUUUACACCAUGUGCACUUGUAGGAUUAUUAUAACUAAUUAAGAUACUAUGUUUUUUUUUACUGUCUCUUGUACCUUAAACAACCACGGGAAAAUCUUAAAUGUUUCAAAACAUGAGUUGCACCCAUAAAAACUCCGUAAAUAAUUUUUUCAACCUUGUUUUAACACUUAUAUUUGUUUUUCAGGAAAAGUAUAAGAUAUGGUAACUCGAUAAACUCAAAUAUCAUGGGUGAAAUGUAACUCUGGGGCUUUGUCUUCACUAGGAACCAGUCAAGACAUAGAGGUCAACCAAAACCCAAACACGUGGAAUGAAUACUCAGCUCUAGCUCAAAGUUGACAUCCUUUUCUUUUACGUACACCACUCAGUCUCAUCACCCUAUGUCCAAACAGGCUAAAGCUGCAAUUACUGUCAACCCCAAGUAUCAGCUUUGAUUCACGAUUUCAAGACAUGAAAUCCCAACUCUAACUUGCGAAAACUCAACAUCAGGCUUGAACAGAAUGGUUUUGACUUGCAUAACUAACUUCAAUAUAUGGAGAACAGUCCUACUCACAUAUCCAAGAAAACAUCGAAUGCCGGUGUAGUUAUCUUAUUCAAUGAAAAAGUCAACAUCAGGUUAGUUUCAACUUGCACACCAACUUCAAAAUACAGAGAGCAGCCCUACUCACAUAUACAAGUAAAAACCAAAUGCCGAUCUAAUUAUCCAAUUCAAUGACGAAAUCUGGCGGUGCAUGAUUUUCACUUGAUGAAUAAAUUACAUCUAGAAUAUAUAAUUUACUCCAAACUUUCAACCCAAUAUGUAGCUAUCACAAUUUGGCGCUGCCACUUCACUUAACACAUAAAAUUAAGCAUUUAAAUCGUGGCCCAAAAUAUUCAGAUUUAAAUUAUAAAUCAUUCUUUUUCAAAAAACUUAAAUAGCAUUCAAGUAUAAAUUCCAAAAAAAAGGGUCAUCUCAUGUGAAUUACAAUCUCAUAAUGAUAGAUCCAAUUAAAUCUCGUACAAACUAAAUCAAUAACCGAAUUAUAAGUUAAAAUCACAAAUCGAUCAACAUACUAAUAGUAAUUACGCAUCAAGAAUGAAAACAGAAAAAAAAAAUUGAAUCACUUCCAGUUUAAAUGAAUCUACAAAAAUCUGUCAUAACUAGAUGGUGCAUGUGUAUAAACAACAACUUCGAUGGAUUAAUUUAAACCAGUCAUCUAAAUAUUUGAAAUAAUUCAAAAUCAUUGCUUUAAAACUUGAAUUACUAGCGAGCAAGGCUGGGAGGAUUGAGCAAGACUGAGAGAGUAAGAGAGGGAGAGAGAAAUUGUAAAUUUUUUAUGACGAUUUAGUCAGAUAAAACAACUUUCUUGCGGCUAAUUAAUUAAUUAUUUGCUUCUUAAAAUUCUAAAAAUCUAAAUGGCGAUAAAUCUAUAUAUAUGUUGUGACUAUAAGGAGAAGCUGGUAUUAUAAGGAGUGACAGAUUGUUCACUUUUGGACAUACCUUUUCUUUUUAUUCAACGUAUACUUUGCUUCCCCUUUUUUCAAAAAAAAAAAAAAAAAAAGAGAAGUUUGCAUCUGAGGAACUACUACAAAAAAAUCAUCCUGUCAGAAGGUUUUUCUAACAAAUAACUUCGAAUCAAAGCAUAUUUUUUAGAAUACCAAUGCAAUUAAUACAUCUUCUUGCACCAUUUGUUUUCCAUUCUGGGACCAAAUAUGCAGAAUUUAGAGGAAGAAAAUGUUCGUUCAAUUAAAGGAUAGUGUGAUAUAAAUGUAUGUAUUAUAAACUGGGUGUUGAUUGUUCUGGCAACAUACCUGAGGUAGUCCUAAUUUGCUUGCAAUAAUGAACGCAGGUACUAAUUUCUUUCCUAGCUCUGUUUCUAAUACCCUAAUAUAGCUUAAAGAAUGGAUUAAUAAAGAUGAUAACACAGAAAAGCUAGUAAACAGAGUUAAAAUAUUAUGUUCUAUCCAAGAAAACAUUGAAUGCCGAUCUAAUUAUCUAAUUCAAUGAAAAAACCUGGUGGGUCGUAAGUUUCUCUUAAUGAAUUAAUUGCAAUUUGGAUUCAACUCUAACAAGCAAAAAGUCAACAUCAGGUUAGUUUCAACUUGCAUCACCAAGACACCAACUUCAACAUACAGAGAACAGCCCUACUCACAUUUACAAGUAAACACCAAAUGCCGAUCUAAGUAUCCAAUUCAAUGACGGAAUCCGCUGGUGCAUGAUUUUCACUUGAUGAAUAAAUUACAUCUAGAAUAUAUAAUUUACUCCAAACUUUCAACCCAAUAUGUAGCUAUCACAAUUUGGCGCUGCCACUUCACUUAACACAUAAAAUUAAGCAUUUAAAUCGUGGCCCAAAAUAUUCAGAUUUAAAUUAUAAAUCAUUCUUUUUCAAAAAACUUAAAUAGCAUUCAAGUAUAAAUUCCAAAAAAAAGGGUCAUCUCAUGUGAAUUACAAUCUCAUAAUGAUAGAUCCAAUUAAAUCUCGUACAAACUAAAUCAAUAACCGAAUUAUAAGUUAAAAUCACAAAUCGAUCAACAUACUAAUAGUAAUUACGCAUCAAGAAUGAAAACAGAAAAAAAAAAUUGAAUCACUUCCAGUUUAAAUGAAUCUACAAAAAUCUGUCAUAACUAGAUGGUGCAUGUGUAUAAACAACAACUUCGAUGGAUUAAUUUAAACCAGUCAUCUAAAUAUUUGAAAUAAUUCAAAAUCAUUGCUUUAAAACUUGAAUUACUAGCGAGCAAGGCUGGGAGGAUUGAGCAAGACUGAGAGAGUAAGAGAGGGAGAGAGAAAUUGUAAAUUUUUUAUGACGAUUUAGUCAGAUAAAACAACUUUCUUGCGGCUAAUUAAUUAAUUAUUUGCUUCUUAAAAUUCUAAAAAUCUAAAUGGCGAUAAAUCUAUAUAUAUGUUGUGACUAUAAGGAGAAGCUGGUAUUAUAAGGAGUGACAGAUUGUUCACUUUUGGACAUACCUUUUCUUUUUAUUCAACGUAUACUUUGCUUCCCCUUUUUUCAAAAAAAAAAAAAAAAAAGAGAAGUUUGCAUCUGAGGAACUACUACAAAAAAAUCAUCCUGUCAGAAGGUUUUUCUAACAAAUAACUUCGAAUCAAAGCAUAUUUUUUAGAAUACCAAUGCAAUUAAUACAUCUUCUUGCACCAUUUGUUUUCCAUUCUGGGACCAAAUAUGCAGAAUUUAGAGGAAGAAAAUGUUCGUUCAAUUAAAGGAUAGUGUGAUAUAAAUGUAUGUAUUAUAAACUGGGUGUUGAUUGUUCUGGCAACAUACCUGAGGUAGUCCUAAUUUGCUUGCAAUAAUGAACGCAGGUACUAAUUUCUUUCCUAGCUCUGUUUCUAAUACCCUAAUAUAGCUUAAAGAAUGGAUUAAUAAAGAUGAUAACACAGAAAAGCUAGUAAACAGAGUUAAAAUAUUAUGUUCUGUUUGGUUAACAACAAAGUAAAGGAAAAUGUUUAACGGGAGAGAAAUCUAGAAACUGAAGAAUGAUUCGUAUUAAACUUUUAUUUGAUUAGCAAAGUUUAAGACAGUAACUCUUAAUGAUUUAUUGUCUUUAUUUCAUCUUUGCUAUGAUUCCUCUCAAAUAGAUGGGGACAGAGAAAUUUAAUUUCUGCUUAUUGUUUUAAAGAAAAUGAAUCUGUUAGAUUUUAUCAAUAACAAAUUAUUAUUAUUAACAAUAUUAUUUCGAGUUUAAUUUACUUAUUUGAUUUUCUUCUUGAUGAAGAACUUGAUUUUUCAACAUCUCUAUUUGGACAUAUACUCUCUUUGAUUUCUUCAUGAUUAAGAAUUUACUUUUUUAACAUCGCUAUUUACACAUAAUUUAUUACUUUUAAGGGACAAACUGUCAUGUCCAAUUAUUUAUGAAUUCUCUCCUAAUUUAAUUUUUUCAAACAGCACUCUUAUCCUUAUUCUUUUGACACUAUUCCAACAUAGAAUAAUAUUUUUUCUUACAUAGUGGCCUUAAAAUUAAAAUUAAAAUUUACAAGACUGAUCCAAAACGCCAUUUCUAUGAAAAAUAAAUGUGGUUGAAAAGUAAGGGCAUAAGAAACUACAUCGCCAAAUCAUUAUGCUAGAUUGAAGAAAAUUAUUCAUAAUUAAAACCACAUUUUGCAGGCCCGUUUCAACGUCACAGAACCUUUGAAAUAAAAAUGAAAAGAUUCCGCAAAUGAAUCCAAAUCACUGCUAUUAAUUUAGAUUGGAACAUUUAUAUCUAUCUAACUAUAUAUAUAUAUAUAUAUAUAUAUAUAUAUAUUGUAUGUAUAUCAUGUCUUAAACUGUCGGUCAUUGCUGCAGCUUUGUCGAAGAGAUAUUAUUAUUAGGUUGAAUCCAAUUUGAGAUUUUGCUAAAAAGAAAAUGGCCUCCAAUUUUUCAUGGUAAACCCAACGACAAGCAUCUAUCAACAUGGUGCCACACUUACACACAACAAUGAUAAGAGCAGCGCAAAUCAAUAGCAGUGCAAAUCUAUGCAAUGUAUAAAUGAUUUCAGCAAUUGAAUGUGUGAAAAAUGUGGAGACCAAUGCGAUUGCAGAAAGAGAUCCAGAGAAAACAGCAAUAACGUCCCAAAAUUGCGAAGAAAUUGCUUGAUUACGUUGAGACUUGUUUGUCAGCUGCUAAUGCAAUGUAGUAGAAGAUUUUGGCUAGUAGAAAAAUACACAACCUUACUCUAUGAGCUCAAUCAACGGCUUCGUUGUGCCUUACACUAUCAUACCCACAAUAGCAGCAACAUGAGAUAUCCAGAGAUUUUUUAGUACAAAACUGAGAAAAUGAAAUUGUCAUUAGUACAAAGCCAUCAAAUUUUACAUAUGAAAAGGCUAGCAUUCUUAUAUUAUUUUCACUUGUUGUACAUGUACCCCGGACCAAUGGUGGAACCAUGAUUUUAGUUUGAUGGGGACCAUAAUGAAGAAACCACAAACUUGACUAGAUAUAACAAGAAAUCUGUAAAGUUGAAGUGUCCGAAAGAGGGGGCUAUAAUUGAUAAACCAUAAAAUGUUAUAUAUUGUUACACAAUUAUAUUAAAGUAAGAGGGCCGACAUAAAAUUUAAAUGAUACAUUAAACUUCCCAUAUACUUUUUUACUUUUUUGGAUUAUUUCGAGGCGGCAAGGCAAGUACCGCCACUCCUGCUCUAGACGUAGCUUCGCAUGCAAGUACUGUAUAAGCAAGAAACGUUUGCUCCCCCAUUGACCAAAUUUCUGCAAUUAAUUUGUAAAUGACAGAUUAACGUUUGCCACCCACUAUCGCUUUAUGCAAUGACAGAAUCGUUUGCCCGAUCAACGGAUCCGCGCUGACACGAAUUAUAAAUCAGUCAUUCUCAAAAUCAAUUUCUUUAUUUCGUAUAACCUGUUUUGAUCUCUUUCCAAAUUAACCUUAUCCAGCAUGUUUUCUGUAAUUAUUAGAAUCCACUAAAAUUUUAUUAGUAAUUCUAAUGAAAAUUUAAUUUCCCCUACCUAUGUAAGCUACAUUCAAAUCCUAAACUUCUUAUUUUCAAUAUAAUUCUAUUUUUUUAAUACUAAAAAUGGCCUCAAAAUUUUAUUUGUGAGUCCUAUAUUGAGCCAACUUAAUUUUUUUUUUUAAAAAAAUUAAAUUUCACAUUAUGACCUACGGUUUUAUCAUAUGACAUAAGAAAUUCUUGAAUACAUCAGAACUAUCAUGUCAGUCAUAUAACAAAUAAAUCAUACUAUGACAUGUGUGCAUUUAUUUUAAAAAAUUAUCAUGUAAGCGGUGGUUACAUUAAAUCAAAAUACACAUAUCAUACAUACAUUAGUUGGUUGAAUUACAUUUGAUGUAUUCUAAAAUUUCUUCAUACGAAGAAAUCUUAGUGGGAUAGGCAAUGAACCUAUUUGCCUAUAGUAGUAGCAUUUGACUUCUUUCAAGUACAAGUAUGCAAUAGAUCUAAGUUAGGUCAUGUUUGAGAUUGAGUUUGGAAAAUAUUAGAGUAUUUAGUAAACACUAGUUGUUAUAACUUAUAAGUAAAGUUAAUUUAAUUUUACACUUGUAUGAUAAAAAAUUUAUUAUAUCUUUACUAAUUUUGUAAAAAUUAUUAUUUAAAAAUUAUAUUUAUUACAUAUUAUUAAUAUUUAUUUCAUAAUUAUUACUUUUUUCUACAGGAGCAGUACCUCAAUAACAACCUAGGAGUCAAAGAUAAUUGACGACUCGAUCCAUUGGUGAGAAAGACAAUGAUGGACCCUUUUUUUGUAAUUCUUGAUGGGAGAUUAGUAGCAAUGAAAAUGUAAGGAAAAUGAAAUUUAGUCAAGAUGAAUUUUCAGUUUAUUAUAAAUUGAAUAAUUUUUUAAUGAGGAAGUUCUCAUUUUAUUAAUAUAAGAACAAAAUUUAAAAAAAAAUAUAUGAAAAUGCAUAUUUUAAUAUAAUUUUUUUUGUCUUUUAGCAAAUUAGGAUUCAUUUUCUUUCUUUUAAUUUGCUCAUUGUUUUAAAAGAAUAAAGUCUUCCUCACACCUGAUUAGAGGAAGACUUAUCAUAAAUUAUCUCUAAUAUAUCUCUAAGUACCGCCAAUAUCAUUUCAUUCACACAUCAAAAUUUAUGUUCUUUUGUAAUAUUUCAAUUUCUAAAUUGCGCACUAUAGCAUGGCAUCCAAUAAGCAAUCUACAUAUCUUUAUUAAUAUUACAAUUAACAUAAUUUCUUUUAAUUUGAUGGGUUUUUAGGAAGUUAACAAAUUAAUUCUUUUUUUUUUUAAAAAAAUCAUUUGUCGAAACAAAUGAAAUAAUAUAACCUUAGAAAAAACUUGCUAAAAGAACUGUGUAAAACUCGGUGUGUAUAUACAUAUAAAAUGUAAAAAAUUGAGGGAGACAUUUGUAUAGUAAAAGAUACUAGCUAUUGUUACAAAAACAUAAAACUGUUCAAGAUCUCUGCAAACACACAAGGAAAAUACCUAUUUUAUAAAAAAAAAAAAAUACAAAUUAGAAAAGAAAAUGUAAAAGCCAACUUCAUUGCCUUGUAAUAGAGGAUAUGAAAAAAACAGAGUAAGCUGGAACAUGGCUAGUGCACACUGCCAAAACAAAAUAAUUCUGAUAUCUCAACAACAAUUGAGGAGAAUAAUUCAAAUACAACAUGGUUAACAAAAAUUAAAUAAAAAUAAGUUUAAACAAUAAACCACUGAGAGACUGAAAAAUUGACAUAGAAGUUGGGAGGUGUUUCAGAUCAGUCUUGUUGCCUAUCAUCAUGAUCACAAUGUUGGAGUCUGCAUGGUCUCUCAGAUCCUUCAGCCACCGGCUCACGUUUUCAAAUGUUGUUGAUUUUGUCACAUCAUAAACUAAAAGAGCUCCGAGUGCACCCGUAUUAUAAUAGGCACUGUUUAUAACUCUGUAUCACUCCUGACCUGCAGUAUGCAUAUCUGGGCUUUUAUUGUCCUUCAACAUGAAAAUCACAGAUUUCCCUUUAAUCAUACAACAAAAUGCUCUUUUAGGACAAAAUUUCCAAUUUUAAUUGACUCUGGAGUUUCUAGAAAAAAAAUUUCUUUGUUCCCCCACGCCUGUAAAUGAGUUUAGACAGUUUAAUUUGGACGGAUCUUACAGCAAUUCAAUCCAUGAUACAUGAUGAAGCAAAGUUUUCAAAUAUUAUGCACUAGAUUAUUAUUUGGUUUCUUGAAUUCAAAACUCACAAAACCCUAAGACCUCUUUAAAUUUCACACACUAGUAUGAGUUGACAAUAACUUUACACCAUGUGCACUUCUAGGAUUAUUAUAAGUGAUUAAGAUACUAUGUUUUUUUUACUGUCUCUUCUACCAUAAACAAACUACAGGAUAGUAACACAAUGGCUAAAAAUCUUAAAUGUUUCAAAACAUGAGUUGCACGCAUAACAACUCAGUAAAUAAUUUUUUCACCCUGAUUUAACACAUAUACUUGUUUUUCAGGAAAAGUAUAAGAUAUGGUAACUUGAUGUAAGUCGGGGGCUUUAUCUCAUGUGGGAAACAGUCAAGACAUAGAGGUUAACUACAACCCAAAAUGUGGAAUGGAUACUCAGCUCUAGCUCAAAGUUGACAUCCUUUUCUUUCACAUCCGCCACUCAGUCCCAUCACCCUAUGUCCAAACAGGCUAAAGCUGCAAUUACUUUCAACCCCAAUUCUCAGCUUUGAUUCAAGAUUUCAAGAAAGGAAAUCCCAACUCUAACUUGCCAAAACUCAACAUCAGGCUUGAACAGAUUCGUUUCGACUUGCAUAACUAACUUCAACAUAUGGAGAACAGUCUUACUCACAUUUCCAAGAAAACAUUGAAUGCCGAUCUAAUUAUCUAAUUAAAUGAAAAAAUUCGGUGGGUCGUAAGUUUCUCUUAAUGAAUUAAUUGCAAUUCUGAUUCCACUCUAACAUGCAAAAUGUCAACAACAUGUUAGUUUGGACUUGCAUAACGAAGACAACAACUUCAACAUACAGAGAACAGCCCUACUCACAUAUACAAAGUAAACACCAAAUCUGCCGGUGCAUGAUUUUCACUUGAUGAAUAAAUUACAACUUAAAUUUAUAAUUUAAUCCAAACUCUCACCCCAAUACUUAGCUACCACAAUUAGGUGCUGCCACUUCACUUAACACAUAAAAUUAACGGUUUAAAUCGUGGCCCAAAAUAUUCAGACUUGAAUUAUAAAUCAUUCUUUUUCAAAAAACUUAAAUAGCAUUCAAAUCUAAAUUCCCCCCCCCCCCCCCNNNNNNNNNNNNNNNNNNNNNNNNNNNNNNNNNNNNNNNNNNNNNNNNNNNNNNNNNNNNNNNNNNNNNNNNNNNNNNNNNNNNNNNNNNAAUCAUCAUACUAAUAGUAAUUAAACAUCAAUAAUGAAAACAGAUAAAAAAUUGAAUCACUUCCGCUUCAUAUGAAUCUACAAAAAUCUAUAAUAACUAGAUGGUGCAUGUGCAUAAACAACAACUUUGAUGGAUUAAUUUAAAACAGUCAUCCAAAUUUGCUGGGAGGCAAAGGAUUGAGCAAGACUGAGAGUAAGAGCGGGAGAAAGAAAUUUUAAAUUUUUUAUGACGAUUUUUGAAUUUCAAGAAUAAUAUGAAUUUAGUCAGAUAAAGCAAUUUUCUUGCGGCUAAUUAAUAUUUAUUUGAUUCUUAAAAGUCUGAAAAUCUAAAUGGCGAUAAAUCUAUAUAUUUGUUGUGACUAUUUUAAAAUCCCGGCCAAGUCAUCCGCAAUAACCAACAGCUGUUGUGGUAAUCAAUACAGGGACGGACUCCUUCUUUUUGCCUAUUAAUUAAAUCUUCAGCAUUAGUUAAAUAUUAGGUGAAUAGACAGGCAAGAGCAUUAUAUGUAUCUAGAAAUAUUAUUUUCACCAAAAAUUAAAAAAAAAAAUUCAAAUGCAGAAGCUGAUAUUAUAAGGAGUGACAGAGUGUUCACUUUUGUACAUACCUUUUCUUUUAAUUUAACAUAUACUUUGCUUCCUCCUUUUUUUCCCGAGAAAAAAGAAGAAGGAAGUUUGCAUCUGAGCAGCUACUACAAAAAAAUCACCCUGUCAGACGGGUUUCUCUAACAAAUAACUUCUAAUCAAAGCAUAUUUUAUAGAAUACCAAUGCAAUUAAUACACCUUCUUGCACUAUUUGUUUUCCAUUCUGGGACCAAAUAUGCGAAAUGUAGAAGAAGAAAAUGUUCGUUCAUUAAAGUAUAGUGUGAUAUAAAUGUAUGUACUAUAAAUUGGGUGUUGAUUAUUCUGUCAACAUACCUGAAAUGUUACUAAUUUGCUUGCAAUAAUGAAUGCAUGUACUGAUUUCUUUCCUAGCUCUGUUUCUAAUACCCUAAUACAGCUUAAAGAAUUAAUAAAGAUGAUAAUGUUAGGGAAAAAUCAGGUUUUUAAAUUUUUAUAAAACCUUUUGAAGAUCGCUCUCAUAUAAUAUAUAAGAAUUUGUAUUCUAGAAAUCGUACCUUGAAAAUCCGAGUUGGCUUUUUCCGCUGAAGUGAUUUAGGCUCCUAGAUCACGAUCCGCCACC
This 44617-nucleotide long non-coding RNA is filed under the name Citrus sinensis (sweet orange). RNAcentral describes it as "long non-coding RNA (CSIN_LNC003506)". The record is from RNAcentral. Lineage: Eukaryota; Viridiplantae; Streptophyta; Magnoliopsida; Sapindales; Rutaceae.